UGUUUUUUUUGUAAUUAAAAUGCCAUGGCACUCCAUGCAUACAUAUGCAUGCGUCCAUGUCGUGAGAUAAAUAUGUAUGAAAAAUCCUUCUAAUUUACUGCACAUGGAAUUAACUCGCACACAAGUACACAAAUAUGAUUUUUCAAACCAUUAUGGUUAGCCGUUGCAUCUAGAUGUAGUUCAAAUUUGAAUUAUGGUCAUUAAAUGGCUAGAAAAUCAAUUAAAUGUCUUCAAAAGGUCAAAUGACCCCUGAAAUUUUCCAAAUUUUCACAUGACAGUUGUAUUAGUGCACGUUACAUGUAGAAAAAAUUUGAAGGCUGUAAGAGGAAGCUAUAUCACGUUCGUCAUCAAACAUGCGUUGUUCCCUCUCGGAACCACGAGCGUUCUAGUGAGUUGCUCCGGUUUGUGAGGGGUGUGUGUCCAAACUUUCAUCACACAUGCCAACAAUUUUACCACAUCAUCUUGGUAGCAUGACAUUACAUCAACCAAGGUUUCAUGUGUUUCUAAUAUUUUUUAAAUUUUUUGGAAUUUAAAUGCCAUGGCACUCCAUGCUUAAUUGUGUCAUAGCCGUUAGACCAAUAUGUUUGAAAAUUCCUUCCAAUUUACUGCACAUGGAAUUAAAUCACACACAAGUACACAAAAUAUGACUUUUCAAACCGUUAUGGUUAGCUGUUGCAUGUACAUGUAGUUCAAAUUUCAAUUACGGUCAUUAAAUGGCUAGAAAAUCACUUAAAUGUCUUAAAAGGUCAAAUGACCCCUGAAAUUUUCCAAGAUUUGACAUGAUAGUUGUAUUAGUACUACAAAAUUUCACGUAUAUUUAAAACACCAUCCGUUGCCACUUUACUCCAAACUCUUCUUUCACAGCUAAUAAAAACUAUCUACAACAUCACACACAGUUGUUUUCUAGGAACCGUUUGUGACGAAAAUAUCUGGGUCUAUUUAAGUCUCCCUCCUUAGGCUUCGCCAGCUCGUCUGCUCCAGUGCCGGCAACCCCCGAAUCCACAAAUCCCGAUACCCAUUCCCGCACCCCCUUCGUGAAGGCCUGUACGAUGGCCGCGUCCCCCUCGAGCGCACCCGCCUGCACCGAGAGCGUGGCUGCCUAUGCCAAGAGUGCCGCCGCAUCCGUGUUGAGCACGGCCGCUUCCACCAUGAGGGCAUCUGCGGCAGCCAACAGGGUCGCUGUAGCGGCCGAGACAGCUUCAGCUGCUACAGCGAUGGCGACUGCAAACGCCGAGAGUGCUCGAGCUGCCGUUCGUGCCGUCGAUGUCGCCCUGGCCUAGGUCGAGGCCAUCCAAGCCAAGAUCGAGGAUGCACACGCUAAGAUAUUCCAGACCACCUCAGACUCCAGCAUGCAACCCACGUCCGAAAAGGCGGUGGUGGCCAUGGAGCACCUUCUUCCUCAUGAGAUCGCCAAGCAGGAGCUGGAGAUGCAGGAGGCGGCGGAGAUUGAGGAGCGCCGGGAGGAGGAAUUGCGCGUGGCCGAGGUCGAGGUAGAGAAGAGUCUGUCCGUCGAGGAAUCGGCGGUGGAGUACCAACACGAGCUCUGGCACAACCACUACUACGAGUAAUACAACCUUGAGGGCGGUGCCGAGGACGAGGACGAGGACGCGGUUGACUUCAGCAAGGGGGGACGCGGAGUCCACCAACAGCAGCAUGUCGCCAGGACACGUCCUCGACGUCUCAUCUCACACCGGCGAUGCAUAGGCCGGUGCAGUGGUGGAUUUGUUAAAAUUGUGCGUACUUAGGCUUUGUUUUUAAUGCUAGUCUUUUGCUAGAGCAAUGUUUAGAUCAACUGGCUCUGUUUAAUUACUAAAAUUGCUCGAUUCAGUAAGUGUGGUUUGUCUGCUGUACGCUCUUUUGUGUGCCCAAAUUAGCAAGCAAUGUUAAAUUAUGCAAUGACGUAUUCGGGGAAAUUUCCACCAAAAUAUGAAUUAUCAAACUCAUCCCAUGCGCGUAAAGCAGAAGAAUCGUUUGCGAUGCACACAAUCAUUCAAAGUGAAUGGUCCGGUGGCACCGCGCAUGAAGUUUCCCUCCACAUUUCCAAAAUGUUGGCCUACCGCCAAAAUAUCUACCCCUCCCUCCUUCCCCACCCCCUUUUCUUCCCGACCACAAGUCACAUUUCCCCUGUUUCCUCCUUCCUGCCUUCCUUCCUUCCUAAGCUAUAGCCGCUUCCUCGCUCUCGCCGUCUCGCAUCCUACCAUCGGGGUCGCCAUGGUCUUCUUCAAAGACCUCUCUAGCGGUUCCUCCUCCGGCGACGACUCCUUCACAACCCGGGUAUGCAUCUCUUCUCCCUCUCGGACUAUGACUUGGAAUGAAGGAUUUUUACCCGAUGGUCGAUUUGAGUCAUUUCUUCCUCUUGUAGAUCCCUAGGACCAUCAGUGGCAACGAAUGGAGUGGGGUGGUUGAAGAUCUAUCUGCUCGUUGUCACCAUCAAUCUCCAUGUGUGAAGCUAGUUGCGUUUGAAUCUGUGGACAGUGGGAGGAAGUUUCUCGCAUGUGCAGAGAAGGUUAGACCCUCUUUCGUAGUUACAAAUCAUUUGUUAGAUGUGAUUCAGACACUGUCACGGUCCCAACCCAUUCAAACCACACCUUCAACCGAACGCAUCCUAAGACAGUGUCAUAGUUUGUACCUAGUAUCUAAAAUUGUUGCCAUCUCAUCAGCGGUGCCAAUAGAAAAUUAUUUGGCAUUGCUUCAGCAGUUUGUGCAGCCAAGUUUGGUCCACACAUCUGAGCAACCAAGAAGUAAAAUAUUAAACCUUUAUGGCAUGAAGGAACUGGGCAUCGGAGCAACUAGGUGCUCCGGAGUCCGGGUCCCUGAUUUUUUCCGCUACAUCGGCUCGUCAGUGCAGGGCACCGGUGCGAGAUGUAGCAAAAGUUGUCUUUACACCAGUUUUGGCAUACAUAGUGGACAACCUUAGUGCAAUUAGUUCUAUGUUACUAAAUUUGUGCAUGUACACACCUGUUAGUAUCAAUUUAUUGUCAUCCAAACACUGUCGCUAUGAUGUUGCAGUUAUAUUUACCUUCCUCAUAAAAUGUUCAAUUUGUUAUUUAUUGUACAUGAGUAAGAACUUGUAGCAUUGUUGUAGUUAAUUAUAGCUUCUGGUGUUCCAGAAUUUGGUUGUUGUCUCAGUAGCAAUUAAUUCAUUUGCACAUUGAUCUUUUUGAGAAGAUAUGUCAUAAUUAACAUGUUUCUUCAAUUUUUCAAAAUAAGCAUUGGUGAUUUUAUAUGUUGCUAUAAACCCAUUGCCCCUACAAUUGUUACUGAUCUAGUGUUAAAUAUUAUAGGAUGAAUGGAAGUGUUCUUACUUGGAGUGGGUUGAUCAAGAGUGGCCACAAUCUUUGAAGAUGUGCCUAGCAAAGCUCUGGAGCAUGUAUGAGGAAGAGAACAGAGAAAGUGUUGUCAACGCUGAAGAAUAUUUGAAAAUGCGGGAUAAAAAGAGGAAGGUGGAGAAUGAGCUCAGAUUUUUUAAAUCAGAGUUUGCUAAGAUGGUGUUGGCGAAGGAGGAGGCACUUUCCCAGUUGGCCAGUGCAAAACAGGUUCUUACUGGACUGAAAGAAGAGGUGGAUAGACGAGCCUGUAUGAUCUUGAUUAGGGAAAUGAAUAUAUUGUUGUUAUGAAGUUGAACUAGCUAUAUGUUGUAUUGUGUUGUUUUCAUGUAGCUAUCGUACUAUGAUGUUAUAAUAUAUUUAUGUGCCUGAUAUGAAAUUGGCAAACAGCUGUCUGAUAUGAAAUGUGAAUUUGCGUAAUACUGGAAUUAUUAAUUGUAAACUAAUAAACCUGCUAAAUGUGUCAUGGAACUUUGCAAACGGUUCUAGCAGUAAAAGCGCUUGUGAUGGAUAGCCCAAUGCCACACAGUUUUCUUCAUCAAAUCGUGUGUGAUGUAGUUGAUAAAAGCAAACAGUUAACCAAGGCAGAGCGUGUGUGAUAGUUACACCUUUCAUACACGAGCCUACACAUAAAACUGUGUGGGAUGUACAUAGGAACAUAAAUGUUUUCCCUGGAUUGACUGUGUGGGAUGUACAUAAGAACGGAAACGUAUUCCUUGAAUUGACUGUGUGUGAUAUACAUACGAACGGAAACGUUUUCCCUAGAUUGACUGUGUGGGAUGUACAUAAGAAUGGAAAGGUAUUCCUUGGAUUGACUGUGUGUGAUAUACAUAUGAACGGAAAUGUUUUUCUUGGAUUCACCAUGUGGGAUGUACAUACGAAUAGAAAUGAUUGGGUUUCGAUGCCUCACCCGGUCGCACACGAGUCCCAGGAGGGCCUAUCCCUGACAGUUCUGGGUCGUGUGCGAAGGACCCCCCCCCUAUUGCCCACACUCACUUGGCGACGGUUCCAAAUGCCGUCGUGGAAAGGGGUUAAAACCAUUUUUAUAGCACCGACGCAUACCAGUGUAUCAUCAUUGUUUUGAAAAAGUGUUGUCAUCCAAGAUUUAUUAUUAUUGCUCACUAGUUGAGUAUGCCAUUGAUAUGAGUAAAUGUGAGACCUAAAUGUUAUUGUGAAUAUGGUUAGUUCAUAAUCUUUGCUGAAAACAUGAAUGCUGGCUAUACAUAUUUGCAACAACAAGAUCAAACUGAGUUUGUAAAAGUUUGUCUUUGUCACUUUCAGUUUGUCAACUGAAUUGCGUGAGGACAAGCAAUGGGUUAAGCGUGAGGGAGUUGAUACGUAUCCAUCGUAUCUACUUUUCCAAACUCUUUUGCCCUUGUUUUGGACUCUAAUUUGCAUGAUUUGAAUGGAACUAACCCAGACUGACACUAUUUUAGGAGAAUUGCCUUGGUGUUAUUUUUGUGCAGAAAUAAAAGUUCUCAAAAUGACCUAAAAAUUUAUGGGGAGUAUUUUUGGAAUAUAUAAAAAUUACUGGCAAAAGAAUCAACUAGAGGGGGUCCACCUAUUGGCCCCAAACCUGGGGGCGCCCCCCCUGGGGCGCCCAGGUGGCUUGUGGGCCCUCUGGACCUCCUCCGAACCUAAUUCCAACGCUAUAUAUUCACAUCCACAGAGAAAAAAAUCAAAGAGAUGGAUUCAUCGCGUUUUACGAUACGGAGCCGCCGUUGCCUCCUGUUCUUCAUCGGGAGGGCUGAUCUGGAGUCUCUUCGAGGCUCCGGAGAGGGGGAUUCGUCGCCAUCAUCACCACCAACCUUCCUCCAUCACCAAUUUCAUGAUGCUCAUUGUCGUGCGUGAGUAAUUCCAUCAUAGACAUGCUGGACGGUGAUGGGUUGGAUGAGAUUUAUCAUGUAAUCGAGUUAGUUUUCAUAGGGUUUGAUCCCUAGUAUCCACUAUAUUCUGAGAUUGAUGUUGCUAUGACUUUGCUAUGCCUAAUGCUUGCCACUAGGGCCCGAGUGCCAUGAUUUCAGAUCUGAACCUAUUAUUUUUUAUGAAUAUAUUUGUGUUCCUGAUCCUAUCUUGCAAGUUGUAGACACCUACUAUGAGUUAUGAUCCGCAUACCCCAAGGUGAUAAUAAUUGGGUGUAGCGAUCCGACCUCAAACGGUCAAAUCUCUGUGCAUAAGUGUCAUCCCUAGAUCGGUAAUGCUGACAUACACAGUACUUGAAGGAUUUAUAACAAAGUAGCAAUCACACACUUAUUACAUCGAAUGUCUCAAAAAACUUAUUACAAUAAAUAUGGCUUAAGGCUAUCUAAGUAAGAUAACAACAGAAGGCUUGGUAGAUAAAGUGAGUCCAUCAACUCCAAUGACAUAGCUGAGUGCACGACAAACGACCUAGCACACCUUACUCUUCGUCUGAAAAGUCUGCAACAUGAUAUGUUGCAUCCCAAAAUGGGUCAGCACAUGGAAUAUGCUGGCAAGAUAACACAGUAGAGCAAUGAACAAGUAAAUGCUAUCACUACAUGCAUAUAUGGCUGGUGGAGGCUCUAUGGUUAUAAUGUUUUUGCGAAAAGCCAAUUUUACCUACUACAAAGGAAUAUAUUUUAUUUUAACUAUCAUGGUAGUUGAAAACAUUGAGAAUGGUAAAUCCCUAUCUCAAUCCCAAUUAAAAGUAAUUAACAUCCCAACAAAUUAAUUUAGAGUAAUGAGAUCCACAUGAUAAUUCAAGAACCAGACACUCAAGAUGUCCAUAACCGGGGACACGACUAACCAUGAUUAGUUUAUACACUCUGCAGAGGUUUGCACACUUUUCCCCACAAGACUCGAUCUCCUCCGUUGGAAUUCUCGCAUUGCAUGGUGUUUGAGAAACGGAUGACCGAGACACAGUCUUUCCGAAGAGGUCCCUUAACCGAUAGAUAGGCCGGUACACCUACAAUCCACUACAUCUGCUAGCCCAUCAUGGAAAGGUUUCCCAGAACUUACUCAACUAUGCCAGAGCCCAUAAUGGCUUGUGGCUGCACACGGAAGUUUCCAGCAUGAAUAAUCUUAUGAUCCCUUUGAGUCUGGGUGGCGAACCAAAAAGGACAGCACUGGUAUAUCCCCAGGUGCCCGCAACCAAUCCACCGAGAUGUGUGUUUAAGUAGCCACCUUAAGUAAACCAUUAAUUAAUAACCUCACAUCUGUCAUGGAUACACUCAAACCCAAUCCACGUCUACGAGCAUAGUGUGGCAAUAAGCAUAACAUAGAAGUAACUCCCAAGGUUUGAUAAUAAAAGGGCAAUUGGUUCUACCUCAUUAUCUACUUCCCAAACCCACAAGUUAAGAGAUCCUACUGAUGCAAUGUUUGAGGGUUGUAACUAAUGCAUAAAAACUGGGUAAAAGGGAUAUGAUAAAAGUGUUACUUGCCUUGCUGAUGAUCCGCAAAACCUAGUGACUCGUAGUAGAACGUUGCGCACUCCGGGAAUUCUAGCGCAAACAAACAAUAGCAUACAUAGACACUCAAGCAUAGAUGCAAGGGGAAACUUCUAAUAAGAAGAUUGAAUCUAAAAACUCAACUGAAGAGAUUCAAUCUGCAAAAAGAAACAAUCGAGUCGGAGCUACGGAACCGAAACAAUGGUCAAAAAACAUCAAAAACAAAUCUGCUUGAAACCAAAUUUUAAAUUUUCAAAACCUUGUUCAAGUUGACUAAACAGAAAUAGGGUUUCGAGAUGAAGAUUUUGGCGUUGGUUUCACUGUAUUUCGACAAACGGUUAAGAAACGACGAGUGUUUGAAGAUCAGGGGCUAAUCUGCGAUAAAAAUAAUUGCGGAUAGGUCCCUGGUCGAAAAUAAAAUAAAAGGAAAAGACUAACGAACGAACGUUCGUUGUCUGAACCUACCCGGCGAACAACGUUCGUUAAAACGAACGAACGGACGAACGUCCGCUAAAUAAAUAAACCGACAAAAACCGAUCUAAUAAAAUUAACCGCAAAACUAAAAAACAACAACCGUUCAACGGCGGUGGCGGGCGGCGCGGCGGCGGCAGGGCGUGGCAAUGGCGGCGGCUGGCGGCGGCUAGGGUUUGGAGCGGCGACGGCUAGGGUUUGGGCAGCCUCGCCUCGCCUUAUAAAGGACCGGGCGAAAGUGUCAUGUUCGGACACGGCCCAUUAAGGCGGUUCGCGUUUUUAACAGAUUUCGUCGGAAAAAUCCUAAUAAAUAAAAUAAAAAUAUAAAAAUGCCAAAACAAAUUUUCGUUGUCUUAAUAAAAUAUUUAGAACAUGAUGAACAUUUUCUUGGCCUAAAAUGCAAUUUUGAAACAUGCAUAUUUUUCUAAUUCAAAUAAAAUAGUUAUAAAAUCCAAAUAAAAUAAUUUAUUUGAUUUUAAUAAUUUUCCAAUAUUUCAAUUACUUUGGAGAAGUCAUAUUAUCUCCUCUCAUAUAUUUUUAAUAUUGGAAAUAUUAUUUGGAGAGAAAAAUAAUUAAAACCAAAUUGAUCCACUUUUCAAUAUUUGAGAAAAAUUCAAAUAUGAAAACAAUAAAAUCCCCAAUUCUCCCCGUGGGUCCUUGAGUUGCUUAGGAUUUUGGGAUCACAAAGCCAAAAUGCAAAAUAAAUAUGAUAUGCAUAUGAUGUCCUGUGUAUAACAUAACAAAUUUGAAAUUUGGGAUGUUACAAACCUACCCCCUUAAGGUGAAUCUCGCCCUCGAGAUUCAGGUUGGCUAGAAAAUAGGUGUGGGUGGUCUUUCCAUAGAUCAUCCUCUCGUUCCCAAGUGGCUUCAUCCUUGGUAUGAUGGCUCGACUGAACUUUGCAAAACUUGAUAACCUUACUACGUGUAACUCGGCUGGCAAACUUGAGAAUCUUGACAGGUUUCUCCUCAUAGGUCAGAUCACUAUCCAACUGAAUUGCUUCCAGGGGCACUGUAUCUCUCAGAGGAAUAUCGGCCAUCUCACCAUGACACUUCUUCAACUGGGAAACGUGAAACACAUCAUGAACUCCUGACAGUCCUUCGGGUAAUUCCAACUUGUAGGCCACUUCUCCCAUACGUUCCAAAACUUGGUAUGGUCCUACAAAUCUCGGGGCUAACUUUCCCUUAACUCCAAAACAUUUAACUCCUCGCAGAGGUGACACCCGAGGAUAUGCUCUAUCUCCAAUUUCAUAGACUACCUCCUUGCGUUUUGAGUCUGCAUAACUUUUCUGCCUGGACUGAGCUACCUUCAGUCUAUCUCGAAUCAACUUAACCUUCCCUUCUGACUAUUUGAUCAAAUCCGGUCCAAACAACUGACGGUAUCCAACUUCAUCCCACAUCAAUAGCGUUUUGCACCUCCUUCCAUACAGGGCUUCGAAAGGUGCCAUCCUCAAACUGGCUUGGUAACUGUUGUUGUAAGAAAACUCUGUGUAGGGAAAAUUAUCAUCCCAACUAGAUCCAUAAUCUAGCACACAAGAUCUCAACAUGUCCUUCAGAAUCUGAUUGACUCUCUCAGUCUGUCCAUUUGUCUGUGGAUGAAAAGUUGUACUGAACUCUAGCCUGGUGCCCAGAGUCUGGUGCAGCUGGUGCCAAAAUUUUGAAGUAAACUGUGUUCCUCUAUCUGAUACAAUAGUCCUCAGAACUCCAUGCAGACAUACGAUCCUGGUCAUGUAUAUCUUGGCCAACUUAGCACUGGUAUAGGUGGUUUUCACUGGGAUAAAGUGAGCCACUUUGGUCAAGCGAUCCACUACUACCCAAAUAGAAUAGUAUCCCGAUCGUGUCCUGGGUAAUCCGGUGAUAAAAUCCAUGCCAAGCUUAUCCCACUUCCACUCGGGUAUCGGCAUAGGCUGCAGUAAUCCUGCUGGCUUCUGAUGUUCUGCCUUCAGUCUCUAACAUACAUCACAUACGGCUACAUACUCGAUAAUGUCCUUCUUCAUACCCGUCCACCAGAAACGCUCCUUCAAAUCCAAAUACAUCUUGGUGUUUCCGGGGUGUAUCGAGUAUGGUGAGUCGUGAGCUUCCUGGAGUAUUAACUUUCCGAUCUCUACAUUAUUGGGCACAUAUAUACGGUCCUCAAACCACAAGGUGUCAUGCUCAUCCUCACGAAAACCUUUGGCAUUUCCUUUGCUCAUCUUCUCCUUUAUCUCAGCAAUUUCCUUAUCAUCCUUCUAAGCUUCUCAGAUUUUUCCCAAUAAUGUUGACUGAACUUCCAAUGUUGCAACAAAAAUCUCUAGGGACUAUCUUCGAACGUAGAUCCCUAAGAUCUUCAGCUAACUUAGUUGGCAAUCCUCCGCUUACGAGGGUAUUGGCGUAACUCUUCCGGAUCAAAGCGUUGCUACGACAUUGGCCUUGCCUAGAUGAUAGUGCAACUUCAUAUCGUAAUCCUUAAUAAGCUCCAACCAUCUCCUUUGCCUGAGAUUCAGCUCCUUCUGCGUGAAAAUGUACUUCAAACUCUUAUGAUCCGUGUACACAUCACAAUGGUUUCCAAUAAGAAAAUGUCUCCAGGUUUUGAGAGCAUGCACUACGGCCGCUAACUCCAAAUCAUGUGUGGCAUAAGUCAACUCAUGCGGUUGAAGCUGUCAUGAGGCAUAUGAAACAACUCUUUCGUCUUGCAUAAGCACGCCUCCAAGUCCUAGGCGAGACGCGCCGCAAUACACUUGGAAAUCCCUACGUACAUCUGGCAGAAUCAGGACUGGGGAUAUAGUCAAUCGUUUCUUCAACUCCUGAAACUUGCCUCACAUUCAUCUGUCCAUUUGAACUUGGUGUCCUUCUUCAACAACUCUGUCAUGGGCUUUGCAAUCUUAGAGAAAUUCUCAAUGAAUCUCCGAUAAUAUCCCGCGAGUCCUAGAAAACUACAGAUCUCUCCAACUGAGGUGGGUGCCAAACACUCAGUGACCGACUGAACCUUAGUAGGGUCUACUGCUAUACAUUCUCUUGAUAUAACAUGUCCAAGGAAUCCAACUUCCUUAAACCAAAACUCACAUUUUCUUAAGUUAGCGUAUAACUGAUGUUCCCUGAGCUUCUUGAGAACUAAACGCAAAUGCUCCUUAUGCUCUUUUUCAUUCUUCGAGUAUACCAAAAUGUCAUCAAUGAACACCAUAACAAACUUAUCCAAGAACUCCAUAAACACCUUGUUCAUCGUACUCAUGAAAUAGGCAGGGGCGUUAGUCAAUCUGAAUGACAUAACCAUGUACUCAUACAGCAUGUACCUUGUGGUGAAAGUUGUCUUAGGUAUAUCCUGUUCUCGAAUCUUCAGCUGGUGGUACCCUGAUCGUAAAUCGAUCUUGGAAAAUACUUUAGCUCCUUGUAGCUGGUCAAAAAAAUCAUUGAUCAUCGGAAGUGGGUACUUGUUCUUGAUCGUCACUUCAUUCAAUGCAUGAUAAUCAACAACCAUUCUUAGAGAUUUAUCCUUCUUCUCAACCAAGAGCACUGGGGCUCCCCAUGGUGACGAACUUCGUCGAAUGUAACCUUUCUCCAGUAACUCCUUAAUUUGUUUCUUAAUCUCCUCCAGAUCAUUUGCCGGCAUCCGGUAUGGCAAUAACUCUAUCAAAAACUCAAUGUCUCGAUCCGGGGGUAUGCCUGGUAGUUCCUCUAGAAAUACAUCCGGGUAAUCCUUCACUACAUGCACUUCUUCCUAAGCAACUCCUGUGAGGGAAUUUAUGUGAGUACUCUUAGGAGUAUGCCUGGAUACAUACUUAAUCCUUUUUUCCUCCGGUGUGGUGAGUAGAAUUGACCUACUGGCGCAUUCAAUGUUUCCUCCAUACUUUGAUAGCCAAUCCAUACCGAGUAUCACAUCCAAGCCUUUGGAUUCCAAAAUUAUUAAGUCUGAGGGGAAAACAUGCCUACCUAUGGUCAAUGGCAUCUAAAAACAUCCACUGCUUGCCAUAUACUCUGCUCCGGGUGAGCUUACUAACAUAGGUGUCUUAAGAACUUGGGUGGGCAACUUAUACUUAUCCACGAAUCCCCUUGAUAUGUAUGAAUGCGAUACACCAGUAUCAAAAAGAACUAUUGCGGUAAAUGACUUAACCAAAAACUUAACGAUAACUGCAUCUGGCUGCUCCUCAACCUCCUCCACAUUCACGUGGUUCACUUGUCCCUUGUUGAAAGGGUUGGGCUUCUUCCCAGAGCUUCCAUUGCCAUUUCCAUUCUUGAGUUCAGGGCACUCAUUGGCAUAGUGUCCAGUCUUCCUGCACUUGAGACAAGUAACGUGGCUUUGGUCCUUCUUGGCGGGUAUGCUUGGGUUAGAGCGGUUCUGACUGCUUCCAUUACCAUUACCAUUCCUAGGGCCAUUGUGGUUAUGUGAACUUCCUCCAUUGUGAGUGUGUCCUCCAUCAUUAUGGGUAAAUCCUCCCGGGUUCGGGGUGAAACGGGGUUUCUGCUGAGCUCCUGAAUUGUAUUUCCCUUGUCCAUACUUCCUUCUGCGGCUCUCAAUCUGCUGCUGCUUCCUUUCAAUCAUAAGAGCCUUAUCUACCAACUCAUGGUAGUUGGUGAAUGUUGCCACCAUCAACUGCAUACUCAUCUCUUCAUUCAACCCUUCCAUAAACUUCUCCUGCUUCGCGGCAUCUAUGGCCACAUCAUCUGGGGCAUAACGAGCUAGCUUGCUAAACUCCUCCAUGUACUGCCCUACAGUACGGUUGCCCUGGCGUAAGUUGUGAAACUCACGCUUCUUCAUGCUCAUAGCUCCAGUUGAGACAUGAGCAGUGCGGAAUGCUUGCUGAAAUUGCUCCCAAGUAACAUUGGCUAUGGGGAAGGUGGUUGUGUAAUUCUCCCACCAUGCGGCUUCAGGUCCAUCCAAUUGGUGUGCGGCAAAACGCACCUUCUCAGCAUCUGCGCAACCUGCGGUGGUUAACUCCCUUCCAAUCCUGCGUAGCCAGUCAUCCGCAACUAUGGGAUCGGUGCUACUAUAAAACACCGGUGGUUGUAACCUCAGAAAACGGGAUAAGUUGUCAACUAGAGGUGGUGGCGGUGGGUUGUUGUUAUUGUUAUUGUUGUUGCCUUGAUUCUGGACUAGCAACUGCAUCAGUGUAUUCUGUUGUUGGAUCAACUGAGUGAGCUCCAGUGGGAAGGCAAAUCCGAGGUCAUGUCUCGGAGGCAUCUGGUGGGUUUUAGAGGGGAGAGAUUAGAAUAGAAUGAGGUCUAAUGAGAAAGCACUGCCCAUAUGCACAUGAGACAAACACAAUCAAUAUCACUCCAAAACAAUAUCAAGCAAGGUCAUGCAAUCGAUCUAACUAUCGUUACAGUGCUCGGACUACUAAUAUAUACAUGGGGGAAUACUACUAAUAAUAUGGUGGUCUACUAGAAAUUUUGAUCGGUAGAAGACUCCAUGAUAUCUGCUCCAGCUUCGUCUUCAUAGUCAUCAUCACUGGGGUCGGAGUCGGUGUCGUUGAUGAUGAUGUAGUCCUUAGGGUGGUCAUCAUCUCCUCCUGGCACAGGGUCUCCCAUGAAUACUCCUAACUUCCUUGUCAGGUCAUCAUUCAUCUCCACUAGUACGGUGAUUUCCUCCUUGUAUUCGUUGUGUGUAGACUUGAGUUCCUCUUCCAGCUCCAUGUUCCUAGUCAUCAACUUCUUCAGAUCUAUCAUGCUUGCACACAUCUGGUUCUCCUGGCGACGAAUGUGAUGAUUUAACUCCUAGAUGAAGGCUGCAAUGGACCUUUCCUUCCUGGUGCUGAUCAUCUCCCAUUGCUCAUCUCGACACCCACAUAUCUGGUAGAUGGUGUCCUUAAGUUCCUUGUGAUAAACUUCGCCGAUGCAUCCCAUGGCAAUGUGGGCUGCCAUGAUCUUGCCUAGACUCCAGGUUGGUGCAUCAAAGGAAAACUCUAUGGGCUCAGUGACCGGCGUGAAUGUCCUUCCUGGAACUUGAACUCGAAUCAUCCAAUGCUCCUCUUCUCGUAAAGUGGUGGUGUAGGUCCCGAUGAAGCUUGGUAUUCCAAUGUUCAGGUACCUAGUGACUUCCUUCAAGUGUCGUCCAAAAGGUGUGUCUUCAUCCGGCUGUGUGAACUUAUUCCUUGUGUCCGCCAUUGUAACACCCAUGAUGCGGCUAUAUCUCCCACAUGUCGGAGCACGAUUUAGAGGCAUAACCGCAUAGUAGGCAUGUCGCAAGAGGGGUAAUCUUUACACAUCUCAUGUACUGAAUAAGAAAGGGAUAAAGAGAUGGCUUACACUCGCCACUUCACACAAUAUAUAAAUAUAGCAUUACAUCAUCCAGAAUACAAUCAAGGUCCGACUACGGAACCAAAAUAAAGAAAGACAACCCCUAAUGCUAGGUCCCUGAUCGUCCCAACUGGGCUCCACUCCUGAUCAAAAGGAAAUGAAACACAACAAUGAAAAGGUCUUCAUGGAGCUCCCGCUUGAGCUCAGUUGCGUCACCUGCACUGGUAUCAUCGGCACCUGCAAACUGUUGGUAAGUAAUCUGUGAGUCAUGGGGACUUAGCAAUCUCACACCCUCGCGAUCAAGACUAUUUAAGAUUAAGGGGUGAAAAGGUAGUGAGUUGGAGCUGCAGCAAGCACUAGCAUAUAUGGUGGCUAACUUACUCAAAUGAGAGCGAGAAGAGAAGCAAAGCACGGUCGUGAACUAGAAGUGAUCAAGAAGUGAUCCUGAAACUACUUACGUUCAAGCAUAACAAAUUCCCAUCACGGCUACACACGCCGUUGAUGCAUUUUAGUUAAAGUUAAGUGUCAAGUUCUCUACAACCGGAUAUUAACAAAUUACCAUCUGCCCAUAACCGCGGGCACGACUUUCGAAAGUUCAUAACCCUGCAGGGGUGUCCCAACUUAGCCCAUCACAAGCUCUCAUGGUCAACGAAGGAUAUUCCUUCUCCCAGGAAGACCCGAUCAGAUUCGGAAUCCCGGUUACAAGUCAUUUCGACAAUGGUAAAACAAGACCAGCAAAGCCGCCCGAUGUGCCGACAAAUCCCGAUAGGAGCUGCACAUAUCUUGUUCUCAGGGCACACCGGAUGAGCAGUCCGUACAACUAAAACCAACCCUCAAGUUUCCCCGAGGUGGCGCUGCAAGGGGCUCUAGUUUGGACCAACACUCAGAGGAGCACUGGCCCGGGGGUUUAAACUAAAGACGACCCUUGAGUCUGCAGAACCCAAGGGAAAAAGGCUUAGGUGGCAAAUGGUAAACCCAAGGUUGGCCUUGCUGGAGGAGUUUUAUUAAAGGUGAAUUGUCAAGGGGUUCCCAUUAUAACCCAACCGCGUAAGGAACGCGAAAUCAAGGAACAUAACACCGGUAUGACGGAAACUAGGGCGGCAAGAGUGGAACAAAACACCAGGCAUAAGGUUGAGCCUUCCACCCUUUACCAAGUAUAUAGAUGCAUUAAAGUAAACAAGAUAUAAUAAUAAUGAUAUCCCAACAAUAAUCAUGUUCUAACAAGGAACAAAAUCCAUCUUCACCUGCAACUAGCAAUGCUAUAAGAGGGGCUGAGCAAAGUGGUAACAUAGCCAAACAACGGUUUGCUAGGAAAGGUGGGUUAGAGGCUUGACAUGGCAAUAUGGGAGGCAUGAUAUAGAAAGUGGUAGGUAUCGCGGCAUAGCAAAAGAGAGAACAACUAGCAAGCAAUGAUAGAAGUGAUAUCGAGGAUAUGGUCAUCUUGCCUGAGAUCCCGCAAGGAAGAAGAACGAGUCCAUGAAGAAGACAAACGGACGUAGUCGAACGGAUCCUCACAAACGUGACGUUAUCGGAACUAACCCGAAGAAGCAACAGCGGAAAGAAGCAAACAACAUAGUAAACAACCAUCACAUAAUCAUGGCAUGAUGCACCACCAAGUAUGACGCAUGUCCGAUUUAAAGAGGCAUGGCAUGGCAAAGUACAACAAACAACACUACAAGUUAAGUGGAGCUCAAUAUGCAACGAGUAGCAUAUUGACGAAACACCACAACAAUUAUUUAGUUCGAUCUCGUUUAUGUACCCCAACAAUAUUAAAUGUUGAUUAACAUGGCAAGAGGUGAAGCACAACAAAACUACCUAUCUAGGCAAGUUUAAAUGAGGCCGGAAACAACGAACAACAAUCCCGGUAAAUCCCCAUAUGCAUAUUUUUAGGUUUGGUACUGAUCUGCCCUAAACCAAAUUUUAGAGUUGUUAAACAUGCAAAGUAAGUACACCAUGAUAAACUAGGCAUUUUUCUACCCCAUUUACAUAUAAAGUUUAUUUAAAACCGAGCUACGACGAAGUAGUUAUGAAAUAAAUCAUUUAACAAGUUAUUUAAGAAAAUUUAAACAAACAGCAUUUUAAACAUUUUAAACAUAGAUGAAAGUUGGAUAUUAUUAAACUAGAUGAAAUUAUAAGCAUUUUUCAUCUAAGGUUUAUUUAAAUCUGAUGCACGGUUAAUUAGUUAUUAUAUGCAUGACAACUAGGGGUUUUUCUAUAAAAACUACAGUCUCUGGAAAUUAGCUAAACAUCCAGAACGAAAAAAAAGACAUGGGCCGAAACUGGUGAGCGCAGGACAAUAUGCAGCGCCCAGGGCGUCACAUAACAAACAGGGGGGUGGGCUGGCUUGUGCUCACCUCACGGGCCUUGGGGCCACCGGAUCUGGUGGGUUGAGCCUGCAGCAAGGCGCGGGGCGGCUGGGCCACGCGCGAGGAGGAAAGCGGGGCCGAGCGGGCCUUGGACAGGGAGGAGGCCAAGGCGGGCCCACACGGGCGUGCUUUCAUCCUCGUACGCAACAGACGACGCAGGAGGCAGGGGUCAACGGUGGCGGCGCGAUACGACUGGGGCUCGCCGGAUCCGCGAGUGAAGGCGUCGGGGCGGCCAGAUCCGAGCACGGGAGGUCUUCGGGGUUCCGUUCCCGGCCAGAUCGAGAAGAAUCAAAUCACCAGGGCGGCGAGCUCGUGUGAUGGAUACAGAGAGAUAUCAAGAUGUGAGGAGGAGAAAUAAAAAAUGGAGGACGGGAGAGGAAGACGGCAGGGGCGAGGCGGCCUGGUCCGCUACUGUGGUGGCCGGCGGCGACGUCUCCGGUGGUCGGCCAGCGCGAGGGAGACGAGGUGAGAAGGAGGCGCUCGGGUGAAGGGGUCGAACGACGGGAAGAGCGGGCGGCGACGCGGUUCGACGUAGAUGGGCUUCCAGUGCCCCGAUCUGGGUUCCGCGGGCCCUGCGCGAGGUGGGGGGACAAGGGCGCGUGGUUGGCGGCUCAGGUGGCGGCGUGGCCGGUGGCUGCGUGCCAAGUGGCGGUGGGCUAGUGGGGAAGAAGGGCUAGGGGUAGGUUUUAGACUAGGAUUAGUCCGAAAAUGGACUAGGGGGUCUAUAUAUAGCAGGUUUUGCUAGGGUUUGGGUCUAGGGGGGUUUCGGAGCCUCCGAUCGCGAUCCCACGGCUCCGGACGCGAGGAGGGGUAGGUUUGAGCUUGUGGGCUGUGCAAAAGGCCUCGGGCUGAGAGGAGAGAAGAGAGAGAGAGUCCCGGCGUCUGUUUCUAGAGACCAAAAACGUAUGACAUUUGACCGACUAUAUUGUUGCGAUAGUUAAUCGUUGGGGCAUCAAACGGACUCCGAAUGCGAUGAAACUUGGCAGGCGGCCUACCUACAACAAAACAAGUCCGCACGCCAACUUUCAACCCAAUCCGAGAACAUUUUCUGGCCACUUAUAAAAUACUAUUUUGGACAUGCCGCGGGCGCGUGCAAGUGUGUCUGGGCUCCGAACGUGACAACGGAAGGAACUAGGAGACCCGGAAUAAUGCAAGUUCGAAAACAUGAUGAUGCAAUGCACAUGACGACAUGAUGAAAUGCAACACGCAAGCAAAUGACAAGGCAACAACAAUGAAUAACUGGAAGACACCUGGCGCAUCGGUCUCGGGGCAUCACGGCCAUCCUAUAGAGUAGAAAAUGGAGAGGAGUUGGAAAUGAGUAGAGAAGAGUGACCUAUGGCUCAUCUUAGUGGUCGUGUCCUACAUUCAGCGUGUGCUCUGAUACCAUCUUGCAGCAAUCCGACCUCAAACGGUCAAAUCUCUGUGCAUAAGUGUCAUGCCUGGAUCGGUAUUGCUGACACACAUAGUACUUGAAGGAUUUAUAACGGAGUAGCAAUCACACACUUAUUACAUCGGAUGUCUCAAAAGAGAACUUAUUACAAUAAAUAUGGCUUAAGGCCAUCUAAGUAAGAUAACAAUGGAAGGCUUGGUAGAUAAAGUGAGUCCAUCAACUCCAACGACAUAGCUGAGUGCACGACAAACGACCUAGCGCACCUUACUCUUCGUAUAAAAAGUCUGCAACAUGAUAUGUUGCAGCCCGAAACGGGUCAGCACAUGGAAUAUGCUGGCAAGAAAACACACUAGAGCAAUGAACAAGUAAAUGCUAUCACUGCAUGCAUGUAUGGCUGGUGGAGGCUCUAUGCUUAUAAUGUUUUUGCGAAAAGCCAAAUUUUCCCUACUACAAAGGAAUAUAUUUUAUUUUAACUAUCAUGGUAGUUGAAAACAUUGAGAAUGGUAAAUCCCAAUCUCAAUCCCAAUUAAAAGUAAUUAACAUCCCAACAGAUUAAUUUAGAGUGAUGAGAUCGACAUGAUAAUUCAAGAACCAGAUACUCAAGAUGUCCAUAAUCGGGGACACGACUAACCAUGAUUAGUUUACACACUCUGCAUAGGUUUGCACACUUUUCCCCACAAGACUCGAUCUCCUCCGUUGUAAUUCUCGCACUGCGUGGUGUUUGAGAAACGGAUGACCGAGACACAGUCUUUCCGAAGAGGUCCCUUAACCGAUAGAUAGGCCGGUACACCUACAAUCCCCUACAUCUGCUAGCCCAUCAUGGAAAGGUUUCCCACAACUUACUCAACUAUGUCAGAGCCCAUAAUGGCUUAUGGCUGCACAUGGAAGUUUCCAGCAUGAAUAAUCUUAUGAUCCCUUUGAGCCUAGGUGGCGAACCAAAAAGGACAGCAUUGGUAUAUCCCCAGGUGCCCGCAACCAAUCCACCCAGAUGUGUGUUUAAGUAGCCACCUUAAGUAAACCAUUAAUUAAUAACCUCACAUCUGUCAUGGAUACACUCAAACCCAAUCCACGUCAAUGAGCAAAGCAUGGCAAUAAGCAUAACGUAGAAGUAACUCCCAGGGUUUGAUAAUAAAAGGGCAAUUGGUUCUACCUCAUCAUCUACUUCCAAAACCCACAAGUUAAGAGAUCCUACUCGUGCAAUGUUUGAGGGUUGUAACUAAUGCAUAAAAAGUAGGUAAAAGGGAUAUGAUCAAAGUGUUACUUGCCUUGCUGAUGAUCAGCAAAAACUAGUGACUCGUAGUAGCACGCUGCGCACUCCGGGAAUUCUAGCACAAACAAACAAUAGCAUACAUAGGCACUCAAGCAUAGAUGCAAGGGGAAACUUAGAAUAUGAAGAUCGAAUCUGAAAACUCAACUAAAGAGAUUCAAUCUGCAAAAAGAAACAAUUGAAUCGGAGCUACAGAACUAAAACUAUGGUCAAAAAAACAUCAGAAACAAAUCUUCUUGAAACCAAAUUUUAAUUUGUCAAAACCUUGUUCAAGUUGACUAAACAGAAAGACGGUUUCCAGACGAAGAUUUUGGCGUUGGUUUCACUGGAUUUGGACAAACGGUUAAGAAACGGCGAGUGUUUGAAGAUCAGGGGCCAAUCUGUGAUAAAAAUAAUCGUGGAUAGGUCCCUGGCCGAAAAUAAAAUAAAAGGAAAAGACUAACGAACGAACGUUCGUAGUCCGAAUCUAACCGGCGAACAAUGUUCGUUAAAACGAACGAACAGAAGAACGUCUGCUAAAUAAAUAAACUGACGAAAAACCGAUCUAAUAAUAUAAACCAUCGGGAGGGCAGAUCUGGAGUCCGUUCGGGGCUCCGGAGAAGGGGAUUCGUCACCAUCAUCACCACCAACCUUCCUCCAUCACCAAUUUCAUGAUGCUCACCGUCAUGCGUGAGUAAUUCCAUCAUAGACAUGCUGGACGGUGAUGGGUUGGUUGAGAUUUAUCAUGUAAUCGAGUUAGUUUUGUUAGGAUUUGAUCUCUAGUAUCCACUAUGUUCUGAGAUUGAUGUUGCUAUGACUUUGCUAUGCUUAAUGCUUGUCACCAGGGCCCGAGUGCCAUGAUUUCAGACCUGAACCUAUUAUGUUUUCAUGAAUAUAUUUGUGUUCCUGAUCCUAUCUUGCAAGUUGUAGACACCUACUAUGAGUUAUGAUCCGCAUACCCCAAGGUGAUAAUAAUUGGGUGUAGCGAUCCAACCUCAAACGAUCAAAUCUCUAUGGAUAAGUGUCAUUCCUGGAUCGGUAAUGCUGACAUACACAGUACUUGAAGGACUUAUAAUAGAGUAGCAAUCACACACUUAUUACAUCGAAUGUCUCAAAAGAGAACUUAUUACAAUAAAUAUGGCUUAAGGCCACCUAAGUAAGAUAACAGCGGAAGGCUUGGUAUAUAAAGUGAGUCCAUCAACUCCAACGACAUAGCUAAGUGCGCAAAAAAUGACCUAGCACACCUUACUCUUCGUCUGAAAAGUCUGCAACAUGAUAUGUUGCAGCCCGAAACGGGUUAGCACAUGGAAUAUGCUGGCAAGAUAACACGGUACAGCAAUGAACAAGUAAAUGUUAUCACUGCAUGCAUAUGGCUGGUGGAGGCUCUAUGCUUAUAAUGUUUUUGGGAAAAGCCAAAUUUUCCCUACUACAAAGGAAUAUAUUUUAUUUUAACUAUCAUGGUAGUUGAAAACAUUGAGAAUGGUAAAUCGCCAUAUCAAUCCCAAUUAAAAGUAAUUAACAUCCCAACAGAUUAAUUUAGAGUGAUGAGAUCCACAUGAUAAUUCAAGAACCAGAUACUCAAGAUGUCCAUAACCGGGGACACGGCUAACCAUGAUUAGUUUAUACACUUUGCAUAGGUUAGCACACUUUUCCCCGCAAGAUUCGAUCUCCUCCGUUGUAAUUCUCGCACUUCAUGGUGUUUCAGAAAUGGAUGACCGAGACACAGUCUUUCCGAAGAGGUCCCUUAACCGAUAGAUAGGCCGGUACACCUACAAUCCCCUACAUCUGCUAGCCCAUCAUGGAAAGGUUUCCCACACCUUACUCAACUAUGCCAGAGCCCAUAAUGGCUUGUGGCUGCACACGGAAGUUUCCGACAUGAAUAAUCUUAUGAUCCCUUUGAACCUGGGUGGCGAACCAAAAAGGACAGCACUGGUAUAUCCCCAGGUGCCCGCAACCAAUCCACCCAGAUGUGUGUUCAAGUAGCCACCUUAAGUAAACCAUUAAUUAAUAACCUCACAUCUGUCAUGGAUACACUCAAACCCAAUCCACGUCUACGAGCAUAGCAUGGCAAUAAGCAUAACGUAGAAGUAACUCCCAGGGUUUGAUAAUAAAAGGGCAAUUCAUUCUACCUCAUCAUCUACUUCCCAAACCCACAAGUUAAGAGAUCCUACUCAUUUAAUGUUUAAGGUUUGUAACUAAUGCAUAAACAUUGGGUAAAAGGGAUAUGAUGGAAGUGUUACUUGCCUUGCUAAUCAUCCGCAAAACCUAGUGACUCGUAGUAGCACGCUGCGCACUCCGGGAAUUCUAGCGCAAACAAACAAUAGCAUACAUAGGCACUCAAGCAUAGCUGCAAGGGGAAACUUCGAAUAAGAAGAUCAAAUCUUAAAACUCUACUGAAGAGAUUUAAUCUGCAAAAAGAAACAAUCGAAUCGGAGCUACAGAACUGAAACUACGGUCAAAAAAACAUCAAAAACAAAUCUGCUUGAAACCAAAUUUUAAUUUGUCAGAACCUUGUUCAAGUUGACUAAGCAGAAAGAUGGUUUCCAGACAAAGAUUUUGGCGUUGGUUUCACUGGAUUUGGACAAACGGUUAAGAAACGGCGAGCGUUUGAAGAUCAGGGGCUAAUAUGUGAUAAAAAUAAUCGCAGAUAAGUCCCUGGCCGAAAAUAAAAUAAAAGGAAAAGACUAACGAACGAACGUUCGUAGUCUGAACCUAACCGGCGAACAACGUUCGUUAAAACGAACGAACAGGCAAACGUCCGCUAAAUAAAUAAACCGACGAAAAACCAAUCUAAUAAAAUAAACCAUCGGGAGGGCUGAUCUCGAGUUCGUUCGGGGCUCCGGAGAGGGGGAUUCGUCGCCACCAUCACCACCAACCUUCCUCCAUCACCAAUUUCAUGAUGCUCGCCGUCAUUCGUGAGUAAUUCCAUCAUAGACAUGUUGUACGGUGAUGGGUUGGAUGAGAUUUAUCAUGUAAUCGAGUUAGUUUUGUUAGGGUUUGAUCCCUAGUAUCCACUAGGGCCCGAGUGCCAUGAUUUCAUAUCUGAACCUAUUAUGUUUUCAUGAAUAUAUUUGUGUUCCUGAUCCUAUCUUGCAAGUUGUAGACACCUACUAUGAGUUAUGAUCUGCAUACCCCAAGGUGAUAAUAAUUGGGUGUAGCGAUCCGACCUCAAACGGUCAAAUCUCUGUGCAUAAAUGUCAUCCCUGGAUCGGUAAUGCUGACAUACAUAGUACUUGAAGGAUUUAUAACGGAGUAGCAAUCACACACUUAUUACAUCGAAUGUCUCAAAAGAGAACUUAUUACAAUAAAUAUGGCUUAAGGCCAUCUCAGUAAGAUAAUAGCGGAAGGCUUGGUAGAUAAAGUGAGUCCAUCAACUCCAACGACAUAGCUGAGUGCACGACAAACAACCUAGCACACCUUACUCUUCGUUUGAAAAGUCUGCAACAUGAUAUGUUGCAGACCGAAAUGGGUCAGCACACGAAAUAUGCUGGCAACAUAACACAGUAGAGCAAUGAACAAGUAAAUGCUAUCACUACAUGCAUAUAUGGCUGGUGGAGGCUCUAUGGUUAUAAUGUUUUUGCGAAAACCCAAUUUUUCCCUACUACAAAGGAAUAUAUUUUAUUUUAACUAUCAUGGUAGUUCAAAACAUUGAGAAUGGUAAAUCCCCAUCUCAACCCCAAUUAAAAGUAAUUAACAUCCCAACAAAUUAAUUUAGAGUGAUGAGAUCCACAUGAUAAUUCAAGAACCAGAUACUCAAGAUGUCCAUAACCGGGGACAUGACUAACCAUGAUUAGUUUAUACACUCUGCAGAGGUUUGUGCACUUUUUCCCACAAGACUCGAUCUCCUCCGUUGGAAUUCUCGCACUGCAUGGUGUUUGAGAAACGGAUGACCGAGACACAGUCUUUCUGAAGAGGUCCCCUUAACCGAUAGAUAGGCCGGUACACCUACAAUCCCCUACAUCUGCAGCCCAUCAUGGAAAGGUUUCCCACAACUUACUCAACUAUGCUAGAGCCCAUAAUGGCUUGUGGCUGCACACGGAAGUUUCCAGCAUGAAUAAUCUUAUGAUCCCUUUGAGCCUGGGUGGCGAACCAAAAAGGACAUCACUGGUAUAUCCCCAGGUGCCCGCAACCAAUCCACCCAUAUGUGUGUUUAAGUAGCCACCUUAAGUAAACCAUUAAUUAAUAACCUCACAUCUGUCAUGGAUACACUCAAACCCAAUCCACGUCUACGAGCAUAGCAUGGCAAUAAGCAUAACGUAGAAUUAACUCCCAGGGUUUGAUAAUAAAAGGGCAAUAGGUUCUACCUCAUCAUCUACUUCCCAAACCCACAAGUUAAGAGAUCCUACUCAUGCAAUGUUUGAGGGUUGUAACUAAUGCAUAAAAACUGGGUAAAAGGGAUAUGAUCAAACUGUUACUUGCCUUGGUGAUGAUCCGUGAAACCUAGUGACUCGCAGUAGCAUGUUGUGCACUCCGGGAAUUUUAGCGCAAACAAACAAUAGCAUACAUAAGCACUCAAGCAUAGAUGCAAGGGUAAAACUUUUAAUAAGAAGAUCGAAUCUGAAAACUCAACUGAAGAUAUUCAAUCAACAAAAAGAAACAAUCGAAUCGGAGCUACAGAACUAAAACUAUGGUCAAAAGAACUUCGAAAACAAAUCUGCUUGAAACCAAAUUUUAAAUUGUAAAAACCUUGUUCAAGUUGAUUAAACAGAAAGAGGGUUUCAAGACGAAGAUUUUAGUGUUGGUUUCACUGGAUUUGGACAAACGGUUAAGAAAUGGCGAGCGUUUGAAGAUAAGGGGUUAAUCUGCGAUAAAAGUAAUCGCGGAUAGGUCCCUGGCCGAAAAUAAAAUAAAAGGAAAAGACUAACGAACGAACGUUCGUAGUCUGAACCUAACCGACGAACAACAUUCGUUAAAACGAACGAACAGACAAACGUCCGCUAAAUAAAUAAACUGGCGAAAAACCGAUCUAAUAACAUAAACCGUGAAACUAAAAAAAUCGGGUUAAACAAACAAACGACCGGUCAACGGCGGCGGCUCCGGCGACGGCGGCGGCAGGCGGCGACGGUGUCGGCAGGCGGAGACGCGGUGGCGGGCGGCUGGAGGCUGGCGGCGGCUAGGGUUUGGGGCGGCCUCGCAUCGCCUUAUAAAGGCACGGGCGGCAGUGUCCUGUUUGGACACAGCCCGUUAAGGCGGUUCGCGUUCUUUUAAACAGAUUUCGCCGGAAAAAUCCUAAUAAAUAAAAUAAAAAUCUAAAAAUGCCAAAAGAAAUUUUCACCAUCUAAAUAAAAUAUUUAGAACAUGAUGAACAUUUUCUUGGCCUAAAAUGCAAUUUUAAAAAAUGCAUAAUUUUCUAAUUCGAAUAAAAUAGCGAUAAAGUCCAAAUAAAAUAAUUUAUUUGAUUUUAAUAAUUUGCCUCCAAUAUUUCAAUUACUUUGGAGAAGUCAUAUUAUCACCUCUCAUGUAUUUUUAAUAUUGGAAAUAUUAUUUGGAGAGAAAAAUAAUUAAAACCAAAUUGAUCCACUUUUCAAUAUUUGAGAAAAAUUCAAAUAUGAAAACAAUAAAAUCCCCAACUCUCUCCAUGGGUCCUUGAGUUGCUUAGGAUUUGGGAAUCACAAAGCCAAAAUGCAAAAGAAAUAUGAUAUGCAUAUGAUGUCCUAUGUAUAUGUAACACCCACGAUGCGGCUAUAUCUCCCAUGUGUCGAGCCACGACUUAGAGGUAUAACCGCAUGGUGGUUUAGUCGCAAGUGGGGUAAUCCUCACGUAAUCCAAUGUAUUGAAUAAGAAAGGGAUAAAGAGUUGGCUUACAAUCACCACUUUACACAAAUAACAAGUUAAACAUACAUCAUCCAGAAUACAAUCAAGGUCCGACUACGGAACCAAAAUAAAAGAAGAAAAGCCCAAUUUCUAGAUCCCUGAUCGUCCCAACUGGGCUCCACUACCGAUCAACCAGAAAAGACACAUAACAAAGAUCAAGAUCUUCAUCGAGCUCCCACUUGAGCUUGGUUGCGUCACCUGCACUGCUAUCAUCGGCACUUGUGACUGUUUGGAAGUAUCUGUGAGUCACGAGGACUCGGCAAUCUCACACCCGUGAGAUCAAGACUAUUUAAGCUUAUGGGUAGGAUAAGGUAAUGUGGUGGAGCUGCAGCAAGCACUAAGAAAAUAUGGUGGCUAACAUACGCAAAUAAGAGCGAGAAAAGAAGCAACGCAACGGACGAGAAGCUAGGAGUGAUCAAGAAGUGAUUCUGAAACUACUUACGCACAAACAUAACACAAGAACCGUGUUCACUUCCAGGACUCCGCCGAAAAGAGACCAUCACGGCUACACACAUAGUUCAUGCAUUUUAAUUAAGUUAAGUGUUAAGCUCUCUACAACUGGACAUUAACAAAUUCCCAUCUGCCACAUAACCGUGGGCAUGGCUUUCGAAAGUUUAUACCCUGCAGGGGUGUCCCAACUUAGCCCAUCACAAGCUCUCACGGUCAACGAAGGAUAUUCCUUCUCCCGGAAAGACCCGAUCAGUCUCGGAAUCCUGGUUACAAGACAUUUUGACAAUGGUAAAACAAGACCAGCAAAGCCACCCGAUGUGUCGACAAUCCCGAUAGGAGUCGCACAUAUAUCGUUCUCAGGACACACCGGAUAGGUCAAGCUACGAGUAAAACCAGCCCUCAAGUUGCCCUGAGGUGGCCCCGCGGGCUGCCCGGUUCGGACCAACACUUAAAGAAGCACUGGCCCGAGGGGUUAAAAUAAAGAUGACCCUCGGGAGCGCGACUCCCAAGGGAAAAGGUAUAGGUUGUUAGACAAAUGUAAAACCAAUGUUGGGCCUUGCUGGAGGAGUUUUAUUCAAAGCGAAUUGUCAAGGGGUUCCCAUAACACACAACCACGUAAGGAACGCAAAAUCAAGGAACAUAACAUCGGUGUGACAAAAACUAGGGCGGCAAGAGUGGAACAAAACACCAGGCAUAAGGCCGAGCCUUCCACCCUUUACCAAGUAUAUAGAUGCAUUCAUCAAAUAAGAGAUAUUGUGAUAUCCCAACAUAUCACCAGCUUCAACUUCACCUGCAACUAGUGAGGGGCUGAGAAAAAGUGGUAACAUAGCCAAACAACAGUUUGCUAGGAAGGUGGGUUAGAGGCUUGACAUGGCAACAUGGGAGGCAUCAUAUAACAAGUGGUAGGUAGCGCGACAUAGCGAUAGAGCGAACAACUAGCAAGCAAAGAUAGAAGUGAUUUCGAGGGUAUGGUCAUCUUGCCUGAAAUCCCGUCAGGAAGAAGAACGAGUCCAAGAAGUAGACGACCCAACGUAGUAGAACAAAUCCUCACAACUCUGGAACAAAACCGAAGCUAACGAGAGAAGCAACCCGGAAAGAAGCAAACAACAUGGUAAACACACAAACAUAACAUGGCAUGAUGCACAAACAAGGAUGAUGCAUGUCCGGUUUAAAUAUGCAUGGCAUGGCAAAGUGAAACAAACAAUACUACAAAUUAAGUGGAGCUCAAUAUGCAACGAGUUGCGUAUUGACGAAACACCACAUCAAUUAUUUAGUUAUCUCUUGUUUAUGUACCCAACAAUAUUAAAUGUUGUUAAACAUGGCAAGAGGUGAGGCAAAAGUAAACUACAUAUUUUAGGCAAUUUAAAUGAGUCCGGAAACAACAAACAACAAUUCCGGUAAAUCCUCAUGUGCAUUAGCAAUUUAAUGCAACAACAAUUUUAAACAUCUUAAAUGUUGUUAUCAUGAUGCGAAUGACAUGUGCAAGUUUUAUGCAAUUUUUGUUAAAAGUUGACAUGAGCAUUAUGAAGCAUUUGUCAUCGUGGCGGAAACGAAAGGGGCACCACGACAACGAUAAUGGAAAUGGUGUCACGCCAACAUUCCAGUUCCAGUAACUCGAUUGAGAUUCUGGUGCAAAAGAGAGUGUGACGGGAGCGUGUCAUGCAACGAUGGUGGGGUGAUUCCGGUUACCUAAUGUCCCAUGUGUCGGUGGCAUGGCAAGUAAGAGUCGUGCACGAAACAAACGGGCACGGUGCAAACACGAGCAUCUCAUACAACACACAUGCAUACGGUCCAUGGCUUCGUCUCGGAGUUAUACCUUCAAGGCGUGCAAUCGAGACGGUUCGGGUUCGUAGAGGGAAGUAGACAUUCUCGCGAUGGAGUCGGCCUUGACGUGUCCAGGAGACGCUCAGGAAGGUGGGGGUUCUCAGUCUUGCGGUUCUGGUCAUCUCAUCAAAACGCAGGCAGGGCCGAUGGAUUCACAGGGCAAGACAACAGCAACCUUGCGUGAAGGAGGCCACGGAGGCGAAGAAACUAAACGAAGGCCGAUACAGAGAGCUGCGGGUCAUGGCAUUGGUCGAUGCGGGCGAGCAGAAGCGCAUCCUCCUCCCCGUUCGAACGAGGCAGAGGCGGGGCAGUGGCUUGGCGAGCUUGAGGCCAUGGCUGCGGGCUGAGGAACGAGGUCCGGCGGGGUGGCGACGCUGCUGGUGGACGACGGCACGGGCAUAGAAGGCAGGGGCGUGAGGAGGCAAAGCAGAGGACGGGGUUGCCGGAGGAGCUGUCCUGGGGGCGGCGGAGUCCGAUGAGGAUGAGGUCUGGAGUAGGGCGCCAUGGCGGGGAGGCGACGUGGCUUCGGUGGAGAAGCACGAAGCGGUCAUGACGAUGGUGGUAGGCGCAGAAGGCGGGGCUGCAAGCACCCAUGGCCUUGACGAGGGGGUCGGGUGCGAGGCUCCUACGGGGGAGGCGACGAACGGGCGACGGCCAUGGCAAACGAGGAGGUAGGACGGCGAGGCGGCGGCCCUGUCGCGAAGGACGAAGGGGAGAGAAAGGAUAUGGGGUUCGAUGGAGUUGGGGGAUCAGGCAUCGGGUUUCUGGCGGCGCGAGGGAAGGAAAUGGGAUCGAGGGGAGAGACCGAGAGAUGGGAACGGGCUCCCUGGCGGCUAGGGUUAGUGCGGCUGGGCCUAGGAGGCCGUGGAUGGGCUGCUGAGAGGCCCAACUAGGCCGCGGGGAGGCAGGCCGGUUGUCAGUGUUCUGGGAACGGGGGUCCCCAGACUUGCCUGCCUGCGGCCCACGGCAUGGCUCUACGAGUGGGCCCGUACGGCCCAUCUUCACCAACAAGCACUCAAGACCCUCACGAGGGGCCAAGCCUCGCAAGGCAGACGACACAAGACCUCCUCGGGAGCGCCCUCACCGGGCUGGCUCACGAGGGGCGGAGAUUUCAAGGCAAGGCAUACCUCACGAGGUUUCAGUGACGUGAGCCAUGACGAUCAAGAUCAGGCGGGCGCCAGCGUGCACAGUGUCCUUGUUUCCUCUUUGGUGCUAAGGAAGCAAGCGCAGGCGCGGAGUACCGAGGCAUCAAGAAAAGGUUUCCAUAUUGGUGCAACAAGACCAAGACCAGCAGGACGGCAAGACGGAGGUCACUAUGGAGCCCAAGACGGCGUCACCACCAGAGCCUUUGGCAGGCGAAGACUGCUUUUGUCAGGAUAAGUUGUACUAGCUAUCCCCUUUCAAAUUGGCCAUUGUUGGCUCCCUUCCCGCUCAAUAUUUGGGAUUUGGACCAGGGCCUCUAUAAAUAGGACUAGCCACCACCCUAGCCAAGGGCGGAUCGAUCUCAUGGAGAGCCGAGAGAAGAGAGACCCGAACAACCACAAGUUCACCAAGCACAAGAACACCUCGCCUCAGGAAGCUAUUCUUCCCUUUGUACUGUUCAUCCUUAGCCCAAGAGACAAUCCACCACCACCACACUGGAGCAGGGUAUUACAGCACAAUGGUGGCCAGAAACGGUAUAAAUCUUGUGUCCUUCGUGUUGUGAGUUCGUUGAGUUAGCCCUUGAGAUCUUAGCGAAGUUAGGACGUGGAUCGGUAGGGGGAGAUCUUCGCGCGCACCCCAGUGUUUGAACCUUGAGGGUUUUGCCGGAACCCGAGAUCCGACAUUUAGCGCGCCAGGUAGGGGUGCGCCGAAGCUUCCCUUCCGUCGCUCCGUGUCCUGUUGCUUCAUCGUCUCCAUGGCAGACGCUCGCCGCGCUCGCGCUGAGCGUCGGGCUGCCCUCGCCGCCCGCAUUGCUCAGAUGGCUCCCGUCGGCGGGCCACCCCAUCGUUCUCCAUCGCCUGCCGCCAACGCCACCACCGGCCUAGCGGGGAACGAGCAGCAAGCAUCCUCGCUGCACCCCUCUGUGCGGCGCGAUGGCCACACCGCCACUCCAUCUCUGACCCCGGCCGGUUCGUCAUCCCACGCUCGUCGCGCUCCCAUGGACGCAUAGGCCACUUUGUGCAUGGCGCGCGAGCUCCUAUGCUACUACCCCGUCGACGACCUCUACGAGGACUGGCUCGACCACAUCGCCGAGCAUGUCGGUGCCACAGGGGGCUCCCCUGCACCGUCCCUCUCGCUGCCUCGCCCUCUGCCAGCCGCGGGCGGCGUGGCCCAUGGAGCGCCUCCACCACCUCUGCCCCAAGACGGAGUCUUGGCGCCCAGGCACGUGGCCCCACGGCGCGACCUGCCACGUUCGGCGCUCGCGCAAGAAGAAAGAAGUUGCCAAGAAGUCCCUCGGCCGCGAGAAAAUGCCCCCGCGCUCCCUGCGCCACCACGGCAAGAACGCGUGCCGCCUACAGCGGCGAUGUGCGGACCCUAUCAAGGACAAGUUCUCCACCAACGCAGAGUCUCGGUAACCACGGCAGGCUGCCGCGCCUUCACCCCUGAGCUACGUAGCGUCACUUGGCCGGGCAAGUUCAAGCCGGAUUUUCCUCCUCGCUAUGACGGCACCCCGACCCCGCGGAGUUCCUGCAGCUCUACGAGCUGAGCAUCAAGGCAGACAACGGCGAUGAGAAAGUCAUGGCGAACUGGUUCCCCAUGGUUCUCAAGGAUGGUGCCCGCUCCUGGCUCCUGAACCCGCCUCCAGGCUCGAUCUCCUCCUGGGACGAGAUGCGCGACCGUUUCGUUGCCAACUUUCAGGGCAGUCGCGACCGCCCACCGGCUACGGGUGACCUACGCCGCGUCAAGCAACAACUAGGAGAGACCCUCCAGAAGUACAUCCAACGCUUCAACAAUGUUCGCCUCAAGAUCCCCAAGGUGACGCAUGAGGCCAUCAUCUACGCGUUCUCCGAUGGCGUCCCCGAUGUCAAGAUGAAGGAGGAGCUCGCCAUCCACGAGGAGUUGUGCACGUCUCUGGAGCUGUUCAACUUGGUGACCAAGUGCGCAAGGGCUGAGGAGGGGCGCCUCUCCCUCCUCAAGCUACCGGCUGCGGACCUGGGGGAGAAGAAAGCCAAGACCAAAGAUGUGAAGCAUAAGGGAGCGGCCGUGCUCGCGGCGGAGCCGGACACAAAGUGCGGCAGGGACCAGCCCGAGUCGUCCAAGAGCAGUUGAUCAUUCUGCGCCUUCCAUAACCUGCAUAGUCACAACACCAGCGACUGUCAAGAGCUCAGAGCCAUUCGAGAAGGACGCUUCAGUCGAUGCCCCGAGCGCAAGGACCGGGGCAACGUCCGAGGAGGAGGACGUGAUGGCGGACGCUGGGACGACCGUGGCCCACACCAGGAGUGGUGCGACCGGCCUCGUGUGGACCGCUGGCAGGAUCAGUCUCGUGAGGGCGCCUGGAGGGAUCAGCCUCGUGAGGAUCGUCCUUAGGGAAACGCCGGUCUCCCUCCGCUACCGCCACCACCAAGAAGGAAUGACGACCACCAUCAGGAUGAGGGGGCUAGGGGCUUCCAGGAGCCGCGUGCCAUCGCCUGCAUCUUGGGCGGAGCUCAAGCCCCAGCCUCACAGUGUAUCUUCAAAUAGUUCACUCAUGAAGUCAAUGCAGUCCUUGAUACGUCUCCGUCGUAUAUACUUUUCCAAAAACGUUUGCCCUUGUUUUGGACUCUAACUUGUAUGAUUUGAAUGGAACUAACCCGGACUAACGCUAUUUUCAGCAGAAUUACCAUGGUGUUGUUUCAUGUGCAGAAAACAAAUAUUCUCGGAAUGACCUGAAACUCCACGGAACAUCUUAGAUAAAACAAUAAAAAAAUCCUCGCCAAAGAUGAAGACCAGGGGGGCCACACCCUUCUCACGAGGGUGGGGGCGCCCCCCCCCUAGGGCGCGCCCCCCUACCUCGUGGGCCCCUGGAAACCCUCUAACGCCAACUCCAACUCUAUAUAUUUGCUUUUAGAGAGAAAAAAAAUCAGGGAGAAGAAAUCAUCGCGUUUUACGAUACGGAGCCGCUGCCAAGCCCUAAAACCUCUCGGGAGGGCUGAUCUGGAGUCCGUUCGGGGCUCCGGAGAGGGGGAUUCGUCGCCGUCGUCAUCAUCAACCAUCCUCCAUCACCAAUUUCAUGAUGCUCACCGCCGUGCGUGAGUAAUUGCAUCAUAGACUUGCUGGACGGUGAUGGGUUGGAUGAGAUUUAUCAUGUAAUCGAGUUAGUUUUGUUAGGGUUUGAUCCCUAGUAUCCAUUAUGUUCUGAGGUUGAUGUUGCUAUGACUUUGCUAUGCUUAAUGCUUGUCACUAGGGCCCGAGUGCCCUGAUUUCAGAUCUGAACCUAUUAUGUUUUCAUGAAUGUAUGUGAGUUCUUGAUCCUAUCUUGCAAGUCUAUAGUCACCUACUAUGUGUUAUGAUCCGGCAACCCCGAAGUGACAAUAAUCGGGACCACUCUCGGUGAUGACCUUAGUUUGAGGAGUUCAUGUAUUCACUAUGUGCUAAUGCUUUGUUCUGGUUCUCUAUUAAAAGGUGGCCUUAAUAUCCCUUAGUUUCCAAUAGGACCCCGCUCCCACGGGAGGGUAGUACAAAAGAUGUCAUGCAAGUUCUUUUCCAUAAGCACGUAUGACUAUAUACGGAAUACAUGCCUACAUUACAUUGACGAACUGGAGCUAGUUCUGUGUCACCCUAUGUUAUGACUGUUACAUGAUGAACCGCAUCCGGCAUAAUUAUCCAUCACUGAUCCGGUGCCUACGAGUUUUCCGUAUACUGGUUUACGCUUAUUUACUUUCCCGCUGCUACAGUUACAAUCACUACAAAAUACCAAAAACAUUAGUUUUGUUGUCUUUACUUUUGUUGCCGGUACUACCACUAUCAUAUUACUUUGCUACUAAACACUUUGCUGCAGAUACUAAGUUUCCAGGUGUGGUUGAAUUGACAACUCAGCUGCUAAUACUUGAGAAUAUUCUUUGGCUCCCCUUGUGUCGAAUCAAUAAAUUUGGGUUGAAUACUCUACCCUUGAAAGCUGUUGCGAUCCCCUAUUAUUGUGGGUUAUCAAGACCAAUUUCUGGCGCCGUUGCCGGGGAGCAUAGCUCUAUUCUUUGAGUCACUUGGGAUUUAUAUCUGCUGGACACUAUGCAGAACUUGAGAGAUCCAAAAACACGAAUCUAUCCCUCAACUAUGAGGGGAGGUAAGGAACUUCCAUCUAGCUCUACACUUGAUUCACCUUCUGUUAUGAGUAAGUUUGCCAUACCUACAUCUGCUUCUGCCAUUCGUUCUGAUAUGUCGCAUGUUAUUGAUGAUGUGACUUCUGCUAUGCAUGAUACUUAUGAUGAAACUGCUUCUAUGCCUGAUACUACUAUGCCCCUUAGUGAAUUUCUUGAUGAACAAAUUGCUAGGGCUAGAGAAAGAGGAAUUAUUGAAUUUUAAUACGAUGAUGAUAGUGAUGAUGAAAAUAUGCCUAUUAUUCCUGAGGGCUAUCUUUUUGAUACGGAAUCUUCUUUAGCUAUUUCAGCUUGCAGAGAUAGAUAUGAGCUUAAGAGGUUAUUAAUUAAAUGGAACAAAGAAUCACUUAGAGAUAUAAUGAAACCUGACCCUUCUUUUGCUACUUCACCUAUAUGUGUUCCUAAUAAGGAUUAUGAAUUCUCUGUUGAUCCUGAUAUAAUCACUUUGGUUGAAUUCGGUCCGUUUUAUGGCUAUGAAUCUGAAACUGUUAUGGCACAUCUUACUAAGUUAAAUGAUAUAGCUGCCCUGUUUACUAAUGAUGAGAGAUCGCGUUACUUCUAUAUACUCAAAAUAUUUCCAUUCUCAUUAAAGGGUGAUGCUGAGAUAUGGUUUAAUUCUCUUGAUCCUGGUUGUGUGCGUAGUCCCCAGGAUAUGAUUUAUUACUUCUCUGCUAAAUAUUUCCCUGCUCAUAAGAAACAAGCUGCUUUGAGGGAAAUAUACAACUUCGUGCAAAUUAAAGAAGAGAGUCUCCCACAAGCUUGGGGGAGGCUUCUCAAGUUACUUAAUGAUUUUCCUGAUCAUCCUCUUAAGAAACCCGAAAUACUUGAUAUCUUUUAUAAUGGACUAACCGAUGCUUCCAGAGAUUACCUGGAUAGUUGUGCUGGUUCUCUUUUCAGGGAAAGAACACCGGAUGAAGCUGAAAUUCUAUUGAAUAAUAUGUUGACAAAUGAAAAUAAUUGGGCACCUCCUGAGCCAGCUCCUGAGCCAUCUCCUGCUCCAAUUACUGAGCCUAUUCCUAAACCAACUUCGAAGAAGAGAGGUGUUCUAUUCCUCAGUCCCGAAGAUAUGCAAGAGGCAAAGAAAUCUAUGAAAGAAAAAGGUAUUAAAGAUGAAGAUGUUAAGAAUUUACCUCCUAUUGAAGAAAUACAUGGUCUUAAUAUACCGCCUGUUGAAGAAACAUAUGAUAUCAAAUCUUUAUUUACUGAAGAACCUCCUGAUCCCGAUAUCCCGACACAGGUAGUAAAGGUAAAUUCUCUCUAUAGAUAUGAUAAAGCUGAAGUCCCUCCUACUAAAAUUGCUAGUCAGUGCUUGGAUGAGUUUGAUAACUUUAUGUUUAAGCAAGACGACUUCAAUGCUUAUUUUGGUAGACAAUUAAAAGAAAAUGCUUAUAUGAUUAGACGCUUGGGUGAUUAUAUGGCUAAUAUUAAAGGUGAACUUAAACUUGUUAGCAAACAUGCUUCUAUGGUUACCACUCAAGUAGAACAAGUACUUAAGGCUCAAAAAGAAGUGCUUGAUGAAAUGAAUAGUAAGAAAAAUGAUUAUGCUGUUAGAGUGGCUACUAGAACUGGUAGAAUGACUCAGGAACCUUUGUAUCUUGAAGGCCACCCUAAGAGAAUCGAGCAAGAUUCUCAAAGAAAUAAUAUUGAUGUUCCUAGUUCUUCUAAAAAGUAGAAGAAGAAAAAUGAUAGAACUGUGCAAACUUCUAGUGAACCUAUUGCUGAACCACCUAAUAAUCCAAAUGAUAUUUCUAUGUCUGAUGCUGAAACACAAUCUUUUAAUGAACAUGAACCUAGUAAAAAUAUUAAUAAUGAUGUUCAUGAUGAUGCACAACCUAGUAAUGAUAAUGAUGUAGAAAUUAAACCUGCUGUUGAUCUUGAUAACCCACAAUCAAAGAAUCAACGUUAUGAUAAAAGAGACUUUGUUGCUAGGAAACAUGGUAAAGAAAGGGAACCAUGGGUUCAGAAACCCAUGCCUUUUCCUCCUAAACCAUCCAAGAAAAAGGAUGAGGAGGAUUUUGAGCGCUUUGCUGAAAUGAUUAGGCCUAUCUUUUUGCGUAUGCAAUUAACUGAUGUGCUCAAAACAAAUCCUUAUGCUAAAUAUAUGAAGGAUAUCAUUACUAAUAAAGAAAGAUACCGGAAGCUGAAAUUUCCACCAUGCUUGCUAAUUAUACUUUUAAGGGUGGAAUACCAAAGAAACUUGGAGACCCCGGAGUACCCACUAUACCUUGCUCCAUUAAAAAGAAUUAUAUUAAAACUGCUUUAUGUGAUCUUGGAGCCGAUGUUAGUGUUAUGCCUCUCUCUUUAUAUCGUAGACUUGACUUGAAUAAGCUGACACCUACUGAAAUAUCUUUGCAAAUGGCCGAUAAAUCAACUGCUAUACAUGUCAGUAUUUGUGAGGAUGUGCCCGUUGUGGUUGCAAACAUUACUAUUUUAACGGACUUUGUUAUACUUGAUAUUUCUGAGGAUAAUAGUAUGUCUAUUAUUCUUGGAAGACCUUUUCUUAAUACUGCAGGGGCUGUUAUUGAUUGCAACAAAGGCAAUGUCACUUUUCAUGUUAAUGGUAAUGAGCAUAUGGUACACUUUCCGAGGAAACAACCUCAAGUUCAUAGUAUCAACUCUAUUGGAAAAAUUCCAUCGAUUAUAUUUGGAGGUUUUGAAUUUCCUCUUCCUACUGUCAAUAAGAAAUAUGAUAUACUUAUUAUUGGGGAUGUGCAUAUCCCCGUUGAGGUAACCUAGUGUUAUUCGAAAUUUCUCCGGUUUCAUGAUUAUCGGAAUGAGUUUGUUAACAAGACUUAAUCAACCUUGUUAGUGGAUUCUUUUUGAUGAGCAUGAGAUGGAUGAAACUAGAAGCACAAACUUCUGUACCCUCUCUAUACUUUCUGUUAUUUAUAUUAAAUAAAGUAAAAAUAGUAUUUUUCUGUCUGUUUCCUAACUUAUCCAUGCAAUAUAAAAAUAUCCCGAAAAUAAAAGUCCUCAGAAUGCCAUGCCAAUUUAAUAUGAUUUUUUUGAGAAUAUUUGAGGAUUUACUGUGCAAAAAUUACCGCGGGGGGAGCUGCCACCUGGCCACGAGGGUGGUGGGCGCCCCCCCUAUAGGGCGCGCCCCCCUGCCUCAUGGGCCCACGGUGGCCCUCCUCCACUUAUCCCAGCACCCAUCUUCUUCCUCUAUCUCACACAAACCCGAAAAACCAACUCAAGCAUGAGUUCCAGCCACUUUUGCUGUGAUUUUCGAUCUCCUUGCUCAAAGCACCUCUCGCAAAACUGCUUGGGGAGAUUGUUCCUUCGUAUGUGACUCCUCCAUUGGUCCAAUUAGUUUUUGUUCUAGUGCUUUAUUCUUUGCAAAUUUGUGCUACAUAGGUGACCAUGUUCUUGAGCUUGCAUGUCAAAUUUAUAUGGUUCCAAGUAGUUCUAAUGCUUGAUUUAGGCUCUGGGCACUUGUAGGAGUAGUUGCUAUCAGUUUUAUUGAGUUUGGUUUACUUUUUGUUUGAAGUUACUAAAAAAUUCAGGUUGUUUCAGAAAAAUAAUGAGGAGAUUUUUGAGGGGAUCAUCGAGCCAAAGCUCGAAGGAAAAGGCACCGAAGCCUAAGUAUAAUUUGCCGCGCACUGCGGAGAUUCGGGCGUGUGAAUGGCCUUCUGAAGAUUUCUUAAGAGCAGCCGGUAUCUAUGAAGAUUUUCAUGAAUUGUCUCACAAUGCAGGCCUCACCGCUUUCUUCCACGACCAAUGCGAUCAGUAUCUCUUUCUCACAAAUACUUUCGUGCAAAACUUUCAUUUUCAGUCUAGGAACUCACCACCUACGGUGGAGUUUCAUUUGUAUGAUGAGCAUAAGGAGAUGUCACUUUAUGAUUUUUGUCGGAUUUGUUUAGUCCCUUUUGAGGGCAAGACAGAAGAACCACAUCAUGAUGAUGAGGCUGGGUUUAUUGAUACUAUCACUAUAGGAGAAACUAGAAAGGUUUCCGAUGCACGAAUCACUAGCAUACAUUUUGCUGUUUUACGUUACUUUGCAUUAUUUGCUAGUUGUUGUUUAAUUGGACGUGGAAACAGUGGAAACCUUAGUAUCCCUGAUAUAAUUAUUCUGCACCACGGUUUAUACAGUGAUAACACUUUUAGUGUGGGUGGUAUUAUUGCUAGACGGUUAAGCAUGAACCGUACUAAGUGUCCCAUCUUUGGAGGCAUCUAUGCCACAUGCCUAGCCGCACAUUUUAACAUACCUAUUAGGCAUGCUGAGAAGGAAGAAAAGGUGCUGCCCCGUGUUUAUCUAGAUCAUAAAAGUAUGGUGGCACAUGAUUUUAUUGUUAAAAUAGGGCAGGGGAGCUUAAAUAUCAAUUGUUCUUUAAUAAACAUCAUCCUGAGACUAUUACCUUGCCUGCUCCUUCUUUGUUUGAUUUGACUGCAGGCACAUACCUUGUUCCGUUGACGGCUAUUCACGCCUACCGGAACCCUGCACCAGUCGAGGAGCUAGAACAGGAACCACAAGAUGAGCCUCCACGACAAUUUGUUUAUUCUUGGGAUCCAGAGAUGACUUUCAGCCAGUGGCAGUCAGAGUCUUCUUCUUCAUCACACUAUGAUCCCAACUAUCCUUCCUCAUCACAGUACGACCCCAACAACUAUUAUUAUGGAUAUCCGUCAGGCCAGCUGUGGCCAUAGACCAACUUAGGCCAAAAGCCUAAGCUUGGGGGAGUAUGUAUUUCUCACCGACAUUACAUUUAUGUUCACACACACUCAUUGCUAGAUGUCGGUGCUCAUGCUUUUUCACUGUAAUAUCCAUGCUAGUUUAUUUUCUUUUUCCUGCUUUCUUCUUGUGUGUUUGCUAAACCUUAAGAAAAACCAAAAAAAUUAGUAGUAGUUUAUUUUUCUGCUGUAGUAGUAAUAACUAAAAAGAAAACCCAAAAAUAUUUCCCGUUCUUCUUUUGAUUGUUGGGAGCUUUCCCGUGUAAAUAGUUUUAUUUCUUUUCUUUUCUUUGGGGGUCAGUAGGAGAAGACCAUAAUUAAAUUGUUGAAGUGGCUCUUAUAUGCAUUAUUGUUGACUUAACCAAGAGCCCAUAUUGCCUUGUCUUCUCGUGUUUAUUGAAUGCUUGCAGAUUCCAGCUUAGUCCAAUGCACGUGCACUCUUAUUAUUAUUCACACCAUUCGGUCAUGCAAGUGAAAGGAAAUUAUGAUGAUAUAUGAUGGACUGACUAAGAUGAGAAAAGCUGGUAUGAACUCGACCUCUUUUGUUUUUGUAAAUAUGAUGACUCCCUCGUUCUUGAUUUAGCUUAUUAUGAAUAAACAUGUUUGCAAUGACAAUUAGAGAUCAUAGUUGCUUGUGCCAUGCUUGAUUAGCUAUGAGUUAUAAUGGUUUACCUUGUGUGCCAACAUGCUAUUGAGAUGAUUAUGAUGUGGUAUGAUGGGGUGGUAUCCUCCUUUGAAUGAUUUAAGUGACUUGACUUGGCACAUGUUCACGCAUGUAGUUGAAACAAAAUCAACAUAGCCUUCACGAUAUUUAUGUUCAUGGUGGAUUAUAUCCUACUCAUGCUUGCAUCCAAUGUUUAUUAAUUUUAAUGCAUGUACAUGGCUGUUGUCGCCCUCUAGUUGGUCGCUUCCCAGUCUUUUGCUAGCCUUCACUUGUACUAAGCGGGAAUACUGCUUGUGCAUCCAAUCCCUUAAACCCCAAAGUUAUUCUAGAUGAGUCCACCAUACCUUCCUAUAUGCGGUAUCUACCUGCCGUUCCAAGUAAAUUUGUAUGUGCCAAACUCUACACCUUCAAAUAAACAUUCUGUUUUGUAUGCUCGAAUAGCUCAUGUAUCAACAAAGGUUGUACUUAUCUUCCGUGUUAGGCGGGUUAUUCUCAAGAGGAGUGGACUCCGCUCCUCACUCGCGAGAAAAUGGCUGGUCACCGGGAUGCCCAGUCCCAUGCUUUAUGCAAACUAAAUCAAAAUUAAUUGCAAACAAAACUCCCCCUGGGACCUGAUGUAUGUUGGAGGCACUCGUUGUUUCGAGCAAGCCAUGGAUUGAUGCUUGUUGGUGGAGGGGGAGUAUAAACUUUACCAUUCUGUUUGGGAACCGCCUAUAAUGUGUUUAGCAUGGAAGAUAUUGCCAUCUCUUAGUUGUUAUGUUGACAAUGAAAGUAAACCACUCAAAAUACAAUUUAUCUCUAUUGCAAAACCGAGCUCUGGCACCUCUACAAAUCCAUGCUUCCCUCUGUGAAGGGCCUAUCCAUUUACUUUUAUGUUGAGUCAUCACCCUCUUAUUAAAAAUCACUAGCUGGAGAGCACAGCCGUCAUUUGCAUUCAUCACUGUUAAUUUAUAUUGGGUAUGACUAUGACUGGAUCUCUUUUACCAUGAAUUACAAUGUCUAGUCAGUCCUUGAUCUUUAAAGGUGCUCUGCAUUUAUGUUUUGCGGUCUCAGAAAGGGCUAGCAAGAUACCAUCUUGUUAUAUCAUAUUAUGAUUGUUUUGAGAAAGUGUUGUCAUCCGAGAUUUGUUAUUAUGACUUGCUAGUUGAUUAUGCUAUUGAUAUGAGUAAUUGUGAGACCUGAGAAUUAUUGCAAAUGUGGUUAAUUAUGAUCUAUGCUGAAAACUUGAAUGCUGGCUUGACAUAGUUACAAAAACAAGAGCAAACAGAGUUUGUAAAAGUUUUUCUUUCUUUCUUUCAGUUUGUCAACUAAAUUUCUUGAGGACAAGCAAGGGUUUAAGCUUGGGGGAGUUGAUACGUCUCCGUCGUAUCUACUUUUCCAAACACUUUUGCCCUUGUUUUGGACUCUAACUUGUAUGAUUUGAAUGGAACUAACCCGGACUGACGAUGUUUUCAGCAGAAUUACCAUGGUGUUGUUUUAUGUGCAGAAAACAAAUAUUCUCGGAAUGACCUGAAACUCCACGGAACAUCUUAGAAAAAACAAUAAAAAAUCCUCGCCAAAGAUGAAGACCAGGGGGCCCACACCCUUCUCACGAGGGUGCCCCCCCUAGGGCGCGCCCCCCUACCUCGUGGGCCCCCUGGAAACCCUCCGACGCCAACUCCAACUCUAUAUAUUUGCUUUCGGAGAGAAAAAAAUCAGGGAGAAGAAAUCAUCGCGUUUUACGAUACGGAGCCGCCGCCAAGCCCUAAAACCUCUCGGGAGGGCUGAUCUGGAGUCCGUUCGGGGCUCUGGAGAGGGGGGAUUCGUCGCCGGCGUCAUCAUCAACCAUCCUCCAUCACCAAUUUCAUGAUGCUCACCGCCGUGCAUGAGUAAUUGCAUCGUAGGCUUGCUGGACGGUGAUGGGUUGGAUGAGAUUUAUCAUGUAAUCAAGUUAGUUUUGUUAGGGUUUGAUCCCUAGUAUCCAUUAUGUUCUGAGAUUGAUGUUGCUAUGACUUUGCUAUGCUUAAUGCUUGUCACUAGGGCCCGAGUGCCAUGAUUUCAGAUCUGAACCUAUUAUGUUUUCAUGAAUAUAUGUGAGUUCUUGAUCCUAUCUUGCAAGUCUAUAGUCACCUACUAUGUGUUAUGAUCUAGCAACCCCGAAGUGACAAUAAUUGGGACCACUCCCGGUGAUGACCUUAGUUUGAGGAGUUCAUGUAUUCACUAUGUGCUAAUGCUUUGUUCCGGUUCUCUAUUAAAAGGAGGCCUUAAAAUCCCUUAGUUUCCAAUAGGACCCCGCUGCCACGGGAGGGUAGGAAAAAAGAUGUCAUGUAAGUUCUUUUCCAUAAGCACGUAUGACUAUAUACGGAAUACAUGCCUACAUUACAUUGAUGAAUUGGAGCUAGUUCUGUGUCACCCUAUGUUAUGACUGUUACAUGAUGAACCGCAUCCGGCAUAAUUAUCCAUCACUGAUCCGGUGCCUACGAGUUUUCCAUAUACUGGUUUACGCUUAUUUACUUUCCCGCUGCUACUGUUACAAUCACUACAAAAUACCAAAAACAUUACUUUUGAUGUCCUUACUUCUGUUGCCGCUACCACCACUAUCAUAUUACUUUGCUACUAAACACUUUGCUGCAGAUACUAAGUUUCCAGGUGUGGUUGGAUUGAUAACUCAGCUGCUAAUACUUGAGAAUAUUCUUUGGCUCCCCUUGUGUCGAAUCAAUAAAUUUGGGUUGAAUACUCUACUCUCGAAAGCUGUUGCGAUCCCCUAUACUUGUGGGUUAUCAGUCCUCCCCAAGCUCGAGGCUAUGCGCCUGCUCAUAUGGUCCAAGUGUGCCAUCACGUUCAGCUUGGCAGAUCAGCUCAAAUGCGCGGCUACCUCUGGCGCCCUCCCGAUGCUCUGUUCACCAGUCAUUAGCAACGUACAAGUUACCAAGACUCUCAUCGAUGGCGGCGCAGGGAUCAACGUCCUGUCCGUCGACACGUUUGACAGUCUCCAAGUGCCGUAUGAUCAGCUUCAGCCCACCAAGCCUUUCUCAGGAGUGACCGAUGGCUCCACCACCCCGAUCGGUCAGGUCCGCCUCCCUGUCACCUUCGUACAACGCGACAACUACCACACCGAGCUCAUCGACUUCGAUGUCGCCCAUAUCCGUCUACCAUACAAUGCCAUCCUUGGGUAUCCGGCCCUGGCCAAGUUCAUGGUCGUGACGCACCAUGGCUACAACGUCCUCGAGAUGGCAGGAAGCGGUGGGAUCAUCACAGUCCCCUGCGAAGAAAGAGAUGGGGUGUGCUCCCUCGAGCGCGCCUUCCAAGUAGCAUCAAUCGAAUACCCCGGCAACAAUGCAGCUCGGUACCCUCCUGAGGUCGUCCCCAAAAAGAAGAAGCAGCUACUCCGUGUCGACCUCGGGAGGGCAGCGCCGCAAGUGGCACCUCGUCAGGAUCAGCGCCCGUACCUAGGGCGCCUCCCUCUGUCGCAUAGGAACGUGCACCCAGCGCCCUCCUCGGGCAGGGCUCGGGGGCUCUCUUCUGGAGGGCCUCAGACCUUGUCAACGUCAUGGGGGAGGCGCUCGGGCACCACUUGGAGGCGUGUUUCGCGGCACGUCUCCCUCAGGAGGACACUGGGCAAGGAGCACCCGGCGCUUAGGAGUUCAUCACCAAGGUAUCUCGGGAGCUUCAGGAAGCAAGAGCAAUACGCGGCGACUACCGCCCACCUGGCAUUGCUCCCCACCCAGGCGAGGGUGGUGAGCUGCACGUCUGCAUCGACAUACCAGGGCUCAACCGAGCCAUAUCUCAGGAGCGCUUCUGGCCUUCGCAUGUUGGGCACUGCGAAGGUCCACCUCACAGCUACGUCUGUAUGCUGUUCAGCCUGCCGAGCGUGGCUGCUGCCUUCCAGCGCAAGCUGCGGAGCAUCAUGGCGGGCCAGGAGGCUAGACACCACGUAGUCCUGGCGGAUAUGGCGACAUUCCUCAAGGAACCGCCUGGACCCCCAGGGCCUCCCGAGGCACAGGGCCCGGUGGCUCAUGAGGAGCAACCCCUUCGCCGCGUACCUUCAGCUGCCUCAACACCCCUUCAUCAACAGAACCAGGUGACAUUUUCCAAGUUUAUUUAGCUGGGAGCGCCCAGGGGGCUGCAUUAUUCCCAGGCGGUUAGCCACGGCGUCUAUGCUCGGGCCCGUCCCUACAGUGUCGAUAAAUCCAACGGCUAAGCUAUGCCUGGCGAGCCAGCCCCGUUCACAUCACCUCCUGGGCCGUUGGUGCUUGGCUUUCUCACGCGAUAACCUCAGGAGAUUCAUUUGGCGCAGGUUGUAUGACCACCUCGCAGGACCAACACAGCGAACAAGAAUCAAGAUCAGGCACAACCCGCCUUGAGGUAGGGCCUCGUGAGUCCCGCACUGGCUCACGAGUGCCCAGACACACCUCGUCUAGCCCUGUCGUGCAAGCCAUGUCUCAGGGCGGGGCUGUACACGCCCCGGGGGCUCUCCGCAGUAGGGAGCCCCCCCCCCACGUACCAAUGGAAGCACCAUGCUCCGCGCUGGCAGUCGACACUGCCGAGGAGUGGCUAUGCCCGUGCAAGUGCGGAAGCGCCAUGGUCCGUCCUGGUGAUAAACAACUGAGGGCGGCCUCACGUCCAUAUCAACCUCAGGGAGCCUCUGGGCUCGGUUUCUGGCCUCAACGCAACGCCUCCCCUCGGGAGAGCCGCGCGAGGGGGCUGGGCAUAGGGGCUACGCUCGGGUCACUCCCAAGCAUACGCCACCCCGCCAGGUCCCUCGGACCCGGUCGUCACGCGCCCUUCCCGAGCCUCGGUGAGGGCGAAGGUAUGAAGGGUGUUUGUACAUCAAGGGGGACUCCUGAGCAUCGCGACUCAGGAGCCUAACUGACCACGUAGCCCCUCACUCCUUGGGUCCGUCCUGGUCUCUUGUCGGUCCAACGGCGGUUGAGGUAUGCGCGGGGUCGGGCCCUGCCGACGUAGAACACAAGACCUGCCAUUGCAUCUCCUUUCCACAAGUUGUUUGUGCGUCAAGGGGGACUCCUGAGCAUCGCGACUCAGGAGCCUAACUAGUCAUGUAGCCCCUCACUCCUUGGGUCUGUCCUGGUCUCCGGUCGGUCCAACGGCGGUUGAGGUAUGCGCGGGGUCGGGCUCUGCCGACGUAGAACGUAAAGCAAAUGGGAAGGAAAUCGCAAAUCUCAAAGCAAAUAUUACAAGACAUAUUGUUCUCCGAAUAUCAAACACAAGUCUAAACGCCUCCACGAGGCACACUACAUGUUGCAGGAGUUUCAACAGGAAAGGAGCCGCAAGCCAGUCAUCCCUCGAUACCGCAGGCGCCUGCAAGAGGUGCCCCCUCCUGGGUGGCGUCGCCUUCACCUGCACCACCGUUCGAAGGCGCGGGGGUGAAGGCGUCGAACUUCUCCAGCAGGGCUUCCACCUGACCUUUCACGGCUACGGCUGUAGCUGAGCAGUGUUCAUCAGCCACGGGCUCCAGCAGCUCGUCAAGGCGGGUGGUAGGAUCGCGAAGAUGGAGGUGGCUGAAGACGUGCGUUAGUGCGGCUGAGGAAAGGACACGAGCCUCUGCCUCUGCCAUGGGGCCGAUGCUGCGCACACUUCCUCAAGCGCCUCGACCAAGUAGGGAAGCAACUGGGCAGGGUCGUCCUCAUUGGUGGCCAACGGCUUCUCCAAGCCCUUCUCAUAGAGUGACUUCAGGGCCUCGCGAGACCUCUUCUCCAGAAGCGCGAAGGCUGCGUGGUCCUCGGCCAGAACCUUCGCCUUGGCACGAGUUCAGCCUUUUCAACCUACACCUUUUGCUCCAGCUCCUCUAGCCGGCCGCGUUCAGCGGCCUACGCUUGCGCCAGCUGCCCCAGCUCGGCAUCGCGACCCUUGACGGCGUCCUCACGGGCCUUCAUCCUCUCUUCCUCCGCUUGACGGCCACGGGCAUCUUCGGCACGCUCUUCGCGCAGGAUCUUCAGCUCGGCCUCCAGCUCCUGGCAGCGACCCUGGGCAGCCUCAGCGUCCUUCAGCGCCGCCUCACGAGCAACCGCUGCCUGAGCUGCGGCUCGCCUCACCCCCUUAGAGGUUGAUGUGGCCUGGCUCAGCGCCGCUCGAAUGUACACGUCAGAAUGAAGCCAACCGGAGACCAGCUCCAGGCGCCCAACCGCCAGGAGGGGUUCGGCGCUCUGGAGAUCUUCUUGCAGUCGGGCCAUCUCAGGGAGGGCUCGCUCCAGGAUGUCAGUAGAAGCAAAGGAACCUGGGGCCAGCGACACAACGGAAGGAGGAGGUAGAGGCAUCGUCGUCACCAUGUCCUGAGAGGCUGGAGGCUCCCGAGCCUCUUGGACCCCAGCACCCGAGCCGGACUCUGGUACCUCCCGAGUCAGCGGGGCCUCGGGGGCUGACUUCUCCCGAGGACGCUCCACCCAGCCUCAUGAGGAUGAUCAGGCUGGAGAAGCACGAGCAUCGUCCCUACAUUUGCUCAUGGAGAGGGGCGCGGUCGCAGGAGGCAACCCGGACUCAAGCGGCACCACCUCGCUCUCCCUUCUCCUCUUCGCCACCGGCGCCUGUCUAGUUACACAACAAGGAAGAAGAGUCAGAAACAAGCAUCAGCAGUAAGAAUGAGGCAGGACGAAAAUACUCACUAAUCCACCGCGGUGUAGUCCCUCCGCUUCAGGAGCCUAAAGCCGGAGAGCUUCACGACCCGAGGCGCGGGCGCACCGGCCCCUGAAGCAGAAGCAGGAGCAGCAGUUGAGCCGGAAGCGGCUCCAGCCAGUGCUGGAACAGCAGCAGAAUCUCGGGAGAUCAGCGCCGACCUACUCCUCGUCGGGGUCACGGAUGAUUCCUCCUUCUCCUGGGGGGCAUCGGCCUCGUCAUCAUCGGGAAAGGUGCGGAGGAGGUCGACCCUGCUCAAGGGGGAGGUUUCCCCUAUCCCUUCGGGGGUCAACCCCGAGUCGUGCUCCUCGUCCUCCUCCUCGUCCCCAGAACACACGUCCACCGUCGCCGUCGCCGCAGGAACUCCAGAAGGCGGUGGUGGCACCGGUCCGCGCCCAUCAAAGGUCGGCCUGGAGGCCACGACCAUCGCCCCGUCCUUGCGGCGAAACAAGGGAGUGAAGACAUUCGGCGGGCACUCUUAGUCGUCCCCGACCAGGAUGCGGAGAGCCACAGCCAGCUCAUCUUCGAACAAGGCUUUCGGGCUCAGGCGAACCUUGUCCUCUUAGUUCCCAAGCUCCCACAAGGGGCAAGUACGCGCUUGGAGUGGGGUUACACGCAGCAUCAAGAAUUCCCUCAGGAGCAUGGCCCCUGUCACCUUUGCCGCCUUCGCGUUGCCCGGUUUCAGGUCGGCAUUCAUCUGCUCCAGCACCAACAUCGCCCGCUCGUCAGUGAGCUUCGCAUGAGACCACCCCUUGUCGGACUGGGGCAUCUCUAUCGGCAGCGUCAAGCAUGGGUGGACGCACUUGGCGUCCAUCAUGGCCCACUUGCUCCGGAAGCCGUCGGCCUUCUUCCCAGUCUUCGAGAUUGAGUUGGCCUUGCCGGCUGCGAUGAAAUUGGCACACUCGGAGGUAUGGCCAUCGUUGAUGCGGAGGAAGAAGAAGUGGCGCAGCAGAGCCACGGACGACAUCACGCCGAGGUACACCUCGCAGUAGUAGGCGAAGAUCGACAAGAGAAGGAUGGAGAUGGGAUGAAGAUGCAGCGCCUGCAGUCCGUAGUGGUCCAGGACCUCGAAGAAGAAGUCAGCAAAAGGGGGAACCAGUCCUGCGGCGAUGCUGCUCAUAAAGAAGGGGAAGAAGGUGCUUCCUUCGGGCUCCGGCACGGCAGAACCGACCUGGAGCUCGGUCUUCCCCCUCUCAUUGUUUUCCCCCGCCGUCAGCAAGCGCAUGGCAGAGUGGUUCUUCUCUGAGACAUUGGGUGCAUCGAGGGCCGGCUCGUACCAAGCCGGCGGCUAGGCAGCCUUGACCUUGCGUGGCGCCAUUAGUCGCUGAUGCGGGAGAAGAUGGAAGCAGAUCUGGAGGUUUCGGAAGCAAGGGGCGAGAAAGGGGAUCGGGAGCAAGGUGGAGGAAGGCAAUGAAGGCAAGCGUAGACCGCGCCUGCCUUUUGUCAGUCGGGCAGUUGCCGAGGCAGGGUGGGGAAGCGGAGACGCCCACGUCCAAUCAACCGCCACGCAUCGACCAAGGCCGCAGGCUAUUGGGGCCCACGGCGCUCCGUGCUUGACCUUUAGCUUUGCCUCGAAGCCAAGCCCGAGCGCGCCUUGGGACCGGGGGCUACUGUUGGUGUUCUGGGAACGGGGGUCCCCAGACUUGCCUGCCUGCGGCCCACGGCGUGGCUCUGUGAGCGGGCCCGUACGGCCCAUCUUCACCAGCAAGCACUCAAGACCCUCGCGAGGGGCCAAGCCUCGCGAGGCGGAAGACAAAAGACCUCCUCGGGAGCACCCUCACCAGGUUGGCUCGCGAGGGGUGGAGAGUUCAAGGCAAGGCAAACCUCGCGAGGUUUCAGUUACGUGAGCCAUGACGAUCAAGAUCAGGCGGGCGCCAGCGCGCACAGUGUCCUUGUUUCCUCUUUGGUGCUAAGGAAGCAAGCGCAGGCGCGGAGUACUGAGGCGUCAAGCAAAGGUUUCCAUAUUGGUGCAACGAGACCAAGACCAGCAGGACGGCAAGACGGAGGUCACCGUGGAGCCCAAGACAGCGUCACCACCAGAGCCUUUGGCAGGCGAAGACUGCUUUUGUCAGGAUAAGUUGUACUAAUUGUCCCCUUUCAAAUUGGCCGUUGUUGGCUCCCUUCCCGCUCAAUAUUUGGGAGAGGACCAGGGCCUCUAUAAAUAGGACUAGCCACCACCAUAUCCAGGGGCGGAUCAAUCUCAUGGAGAGUCGAGAGCCGAGAGACCCGAACAACCACAAGUUCACCAAGCACAAGAACACCUCGCCUCAGGAAGCUGUUCUUCCCCUUGUACUGUUCAUCCUUAGCCCAAGAGGCAAUCCACCACCACCACACUGGAGUAGGGUAUUACACCACAACGGUGGCCCGAACCAGUAUAAAUCCUGUGUCCUUCCUAUUGUGAGUUCGUCGAGUUAGCCCUUGAGAUCUUAGUGAAGCUAGGGCGUGGAUCGGUAGGGGGAGAUCUUCGCACGCACCCCAGUGUUCGAACCUUGAGGGUUUUGCCAGAACCCGAGAUCCGACACCGGCCUGGCCGCUGGGCUCUCUCUCUCUCUCUCUCUCCUUAUUUUCUUUAGCGGGAAACAAUUAAAGAGAAGAAAAAAGAAAGAAAGAAAGAGGGGUUAGGGAAAGAAGUUGGACACGUGGAUAAAUUUCCCGGACUCAAAAAACGUGCAUGUUCACAGAAAAAUAGAAGUGGCAAGAUCGCAGGAGUUAAAUUCAAAUUCAUUUGAAUAUAAUUCAAAUGGUUUUGAAUUCGGACUAGGUUUGGUGUGGCCAAAAAUGUUUGGAUUUUUGGUGGAGCUCCGGAAAAUGAUGAAAGAAUAUAUGGCAAGGUUGGAGACCAAGAAUUGAGAUAACAAAUACAUUGGGAUAAUUUGCAAGUGUGUUAUGGUGAAUUCCAAAUUAAAUAAAUAUUUAAUAUAGCUCCCUAAUAUUGGGAGGAUAUGUUAUAAAGAGAAGUCACUCUUCCCUCGAUUUAAAUAGAUCAACCAUCUAUGCAAUUUAUUAGUUGAGUUUAAAAAAUGAAAUGGCAUGAUGACAUGAUGCAAAGAUGAAUGCAACAGACAAAACAAAUCACCCGAUGAAACUCGGAAAACGUGGAAGGCAUCUGAAGCUCCGGUCUUGGGGCAUUCCAACACUCCACCACUACAAGAGGAUCUCGUCCUGAGAUCUAAGGAUGGCACCGGAGAGAAACAGAAGAGGAAGAGGUAAAACAAAGUUGCUUCUUUGACAAACGAGUGAAACCAAAGAACCUUGAGAGGUUGAACAAAUUGAAAGGAAGAAUGCAACGAAGAUGAACAAAGUUGAAAACACUCCAUUAAAAAAGCGGAACAAGGAAGAACAAAUUCGGACAGCACUCCGGUUGAAAAGAUAUGUAAGACUUGAUAAGAUGAAAAGAACUUGAGCAGAGGGCACAACACUCCGGUUAAAUGGAUAAGCACGAAAAGAACAUGAUCCUCAUAAUUCGAGAUGAUGAGUGAAUAGAGCAACAUCACAAUGCCUCCGGGAGAAAGAAUAGAAGAUAGAUCAUUGGAAUGAAAGAAUGGAGAAGAAAAUGCCAACUUCUGCCACAAAUGAGCUUGGAGAGCACCCUUCCAAGAAGGUUAUAAUGGAGUUGUUGGAAAACCAACAAGGAAACGAAUAAACUUGUAGUGGGCUUAUGGAAAACUUCUCAAAAUUGAGGCGAAAUUCUGCCACUACGGAAACAAAAGAUUGGAUUGAUAUCACCAAGGAGUCGAGAAACAUACUUCACCGGGAGGAUAAGUGAAGAACUUGGGUCAUUUAUAAGCAUGAUAAAUAGCAACAAUCCUUAGGUAAAGCUUUAGGUGAAAUAUAACCCAAGAUAACUCCAAUGAAGAGAUUGAUGGAUUGAGAAGAGCUCAUGCUCGAAGAAAUUGAUGGGUUUAACUAUCUCAUUCUUGACAAUUGUUGAAUCAUGACACAUGAAGGGAAAUUGUCAAGAGUGACAUAACAUCACCUCAAAAGACAAGACAGAAAUAAUUGCACUUCGGAAUGCAAGAUGAAGAAUGCUUGAACUCCUCAAAACAAGACAUGUGUUUAACAUUGAGGGAGUCCUGGAUUAGGGGGUCUCCAGACAGCCGGGCUAUAUCCUUUGGCCGGACUGUUGGACUAUGAAAAUACAAGAUUGAAGACUUUGUCCCGUGUCCGGAUGGGACUCUACUUGGCGUGGAAGGCAAGCUAGGAAAUACGGAUAUGUAUAUCUCCUCCUUUGUAACCGACCUUGUGUAACCCUAGCCCCCUCUGGUGUCUAUAUAAACCGGAGGGUUUUAGUCCGUAGGGCAAGAUACAAUCAUACCAUAGGCUAGCUUCUAGGGUUUAGCCUCUCCGAUCUCGUGGUAGAUCUACUCUUGUAAUACUCAUAUCAUCAAGAACAAUCAAGCAGGACGUAGGGUUUUACCUCUAUCAAGAGGGCCCAAACCUGGGUAAAACAUCGUGUCCACUGCCUCCUAUUACCAUCCGCCUUAGACGCACAGUUCGGGACCCCCUACCCGAGAUCCGCCGGUUUUGACACCGACAGACACCAUGUUUAUUUUUUUGAGUAUAGCUUGGCGGAACUUAACUUCGAGAUAAAUCUUGAAGAACAGUUAAAGAAUGGAAAGAAUCCUUAAUGAGCCACCAUGUAGAGCCUCCAUGAUGAACUCCGGUAAUAAAAGAAUGAUCAAACGGAAGGAAAUCUAAAAAGAACUCCGGUAAUAAAAGAAUGAUAGAAAGAAAGAGAAGUUGAAAACACAAGGUGUAACCGAGAAAACUUGGAGCUCCGGAAAAGGAAAAGGUGAAACACUAGACCCGAGAAUUACUUCAUCCUGAACGAACUCCGAAGGAAGGGAUUAAACAUUUGGAUGAAACAAGAAUAAGAAUUACAUUAUGUGUAUCCUUCAUCAAUUUAAAUUUAUGACAUGCAAUGGAUUUGGCAUACUACUUAUUCUCGUAGAAAGGAUUAAGAUAGAUAUAGCGCAAACUUGAGAAGGUCUUGAUGGAACCACCAGUGGGAUUUGGAAAUCUAUAUGAUAACGAAGGAAGAGAACUCUUGAACGAACCACCGUAAGAAUUGAAAAUGAAAGUAGCAAAGGCACAAUUCACCGGGAAGAAUUGGAAAACGAACUAACAUACGUGAGGGGAUUUGCAUACAUGAGAACAAAGAGAUCGUGAGCUGGCUAGAUAAUAGUUGAACGAUGCGCUGGUAAGAUUUGGAGAACGAGAGCUGAAAGCUAAGAAUGAGUAAUAUUUGUAAAGAUGGCCUUCGGAGGAAAGAAAUGGAAACAACUCAUAAAAUGCUCAGGAUGGGUGAAAAUAAUUCUCACAAUCGAAAAUAAUUAUGAGAGGAUGGCAUCAAGCUUGAACCAUGAAUCUUUGAGAGAACGGAUAAGAUUUGGAGGAAAACUCUUCUUCGGUCUUCAAAUGUUGAGAAUGACGAUGAGAAACACCAUCAUGCAUUGUUGAGGCACUCCAGAAUGAAAAAUAGAAAGGUUGAACCAACGAUGAAAGAAUUUGAAAGACCUUGGAGAAAGACAUUUGACCGAUGACAAUUCAUUCUUACGUCAAACUUGAAUGAAUUCAAUAAUAACUCCGGGAAAAUUAGAAGAGUCAGGUAAGAUCCUGGGAAAAGACCUUUGGGUUAGGGCCCACUCAAAAGAUACACCGUUGAACGAUUUAAAAGAAAGAUUUCACCGGUUGAAUUAAAUGACUUGAAUGAGAUAACAACCUCGAGAUAGCUUGAACGAAUUAGCAAUGGAAACGCGAAUCUUCUUUGAUAUCUUCAGCACUCCAGAGCAAAUAAAUGGUGAGAAGUGGAUGGUUAAGAGGUGCACCGGCAUGAGAAAACAUUUGAAACGAGGAAAGGAUAUGAUCGACAAAGCUUGAAUUGAAUCCACCGGAAAGAAAGAGAAUGAAAAAUGAUGAACUUGAGGCUUCCUUAAUAUCUUCCUGAGAAUCACCGGAUAAGAAUAUUGACAGAAAAGAGUGGGGAGACUUCACAUCAAUAAAAUGGAUAACGGAUUAAGAAAUCGGAGUCCUUGAAGAAAAAGGGUGGGAGGGCGGGAAAAACAAAGGCAACUUGGGGACGAACAACGUUGGAAAAAAACCUGAGGGGUGAUCUUGCGAAUGUUGAAAUGAUUGGAUCCACUUGAAGAGAAACACGCCGGUUGGAAAAGAAUUGGCAAGACCAUCUCAAUGAUCAAGAACGAUUAGCACUCCCAUAGAAAUAUGAGAGCACCGCUUGGAAAAAAGGUAUAGAAUCAACACUUGACUUCGAAGCAACUCGAAUACCACAACUCAAAACAAAACAAAGGAUUUGACUUGCAGGAUAAGACGGAACAAACAUAUGAUAGAUCCCAUAUCAUAUCAUGUGUCCAUUGGAAAGAUAUCCUACGAGCUACUUGAAUUCCCACUUAUAAACUCCCGAAACUUUCUGGUUAUGCAAUCAGGUGUGGGGAUACAUGGGAAGCAUAAUAUCUCACCCAAACUAACAAUUCCUACAUCCAGUUGUAUCCAUCCUUCAACACAUAACCAAGAAACCUUCGGAAAUCAUGUACCUCAACCUUCAAAAAGCAUCCAUUAUACGAGUUAUGGCAAUAAUCCCGAACUCCCGCCCCAGUACUGGGUGGCGUCGAGGUUAUCUCACUAACAACUGCAUAAAAGAGAUUUUUGAUGUCGGCGAAACUCAGGUAUUCCAAAACUACAAUGAUAAAAUUGUGACGACAACACCUCGGAGCUCAACUCCCCGGGACACUUCCACAACCCCUAAAUGUCAGGAGGCACCAAGAACAAUGUUCUCGUCACAAGACUAUCGGAACGAUUCCAAGAUACCCGCGUGAUCCUAAAAAAAUUUCGUGAAAUUUGAGGAGAGGGAAGUCAAAACUUCUACGUCAGGAGGCCUCACAAGAGUGACGAAGGGACUAAGGAGUAAAAAGAAUCCUACUCCCCGAUAUAUAUAAUCCUAAGACUCAAAACAUUUUGUUCCAGACUCAACAACAUUAGCGAUUCGAUCAAGCAGGGGGCUCCUAAGUCGGGGAUGGUUCUGAUUACCAACUUGUAACACCCACGAUGCGGCUAUAUCUCCCACGUGUCGAGGCACGACUUAGAGGCAUAACCGCAUGGUGGUUUAUUUGCAAGUGGGGUAAUCUUCACGCAAUCCCAUGUAUUGAAUAAGAAAGGGAUAAAGAGUUGGCUUACAAUCGGCACUUCACACAAAUAACAAGUUAAACAUACAUCAUCCAGAAUACAAUCAAGGUCCGACUACGGAACAAAAUAAAACAAGACAACCCCAAUUGCUAGAUCCCCAAUUGUCCCAAUUGGGCUCCACUACUGAUCAAUCGGAAAAGACACAUAACAAUGAUCAAGAUCUUCAUUGAGCUCCCACUUGAGCUGGAUUGCGUCACCUGCACUGGUAUCAUCGGCACCUGCAACUGUUUGGAAGUAUCUGUGAGUCAUGAGGACUCAGCAAUCUCACACCCGCAAGAUCAAGACUAUUUAAGCUUAUGGGUAGAAUAAGGCAAUGUGGUGGAGCUGCAGCAAGAACUAAGCAAAUAUGGUGGCUAACAUACGCAAAAAAGAGAGAGAAGAGAAGCAGCACAACGGUCGAGAAGCUAGAAGUGAUCAAGAAGUGAUUCUGAAACUACUUACGCACAAACAUAACACAAGAACCAUGUUCACUUCCCGGACUCCGCCGAAAAGAGAGCAUCACGGCUACACACGCGGUUGAUGCAUUUUAAUUAAGUUAAGUGUUAAGCUCUCUACAACCGGACAUUAACAAAUUCCCAUCUGCCACAUAACCGUGGGCAUGGCUUUCGAAAGUUUAUACCCUGCAGGGGUGUCCCAACUUAGCCCAUCACAGGCUCUCACGGUCAUCCCGGAAAGACCCGAUCAGUUUCGGAAUCCCGGUUACAAGACAUUUCGACAAUGGUAAAAUAAGACCAGCAAAGCCGCCCAAUGUGUCAACAAUCCCGAUAGGAGUCGCACGUAUAUCGUUCUCGGGACACACCGGAUAGGUCAAGCUACGAGUAAAACCAGCCCUCAAGUUGCCCCGAGGUGGCCCCGCGGGCUGCCCGGUUCGGACCAACACUUAGAGAAGCACUGGCCCGGGAGGGUAAAAUAAAGAUGACCCUCGGGAGCGCAACUCCCAAGGGAAAAGGUAUAGGUUGUUAGACAAAUGUAAAACCAAUGUUGGGCCUUGCUGGAGGAGUUUUAUUCAAAGCGAACUGUCAAGGGGUUCCCAUAACACACAACCACGUAAGGAACGCAAAAUCAAGGAACAUAACACCGGUAUGACGAAAACUAGGGCGGCAAGAGUGGAACAAAACACCAGGCAUAAGGCCGAGCCUUCCACCCUUUACCAAGUAUCUAGAUGCAUUCAUUAAAUAAGAGAUAUUGUGAUAUCCCAACAUAUCCAUGUUCCAACAUGGAACCAGCUUCAACUUCACCUGCAACUAGCAACGCUAUAAGAGGGGCUGAGCAAAAGUGGUAACAUAGCCAAACAACGGUUUGCUAGGAAGGUGGGUCAGAGGCUUGACAUGGUCAAAGCACAAGUGCUCCUUGGGUGAUUUUGAUAAUUAAUGACAACAUAUGUCUUGUUGGACUAAUACUUUUACCUAGUAUGUUUCAGACAAGUUCAACAAAUUAAAUGGCGUGGACUAAAGGAUGUGGAACCCCUUCAAGAUGCUAAGGACAAAGGAUUAGCUCAAGCUUCAAGAUCAAGACUCUACAUUUUCUAUUUUAGUGAGCCAAGAUCACAUUGAGUCUAUAGGAAAGCCAAUACUAUUAAGAAGGGAUGAGGUGUUGCUUAAUGGCUUGCUUGCUCAAAGUGCUUAGUGAUAUGCUCCAAAACCCUCAACUACGUUCCCACUUCCAUAUAUGUCCCACACCAAAUAUCCAACUCGGCCCCACCGAUUGUUUCUAUCUGGAGCCACCGAGUUCAGUUGACAUAGCCACUGCCACAAACCCUAAUCAAAUCGGUCUCACCGAUAGGGAUUUCGGUCUCACCGAGAUGGGCUUGCAAACUCUCUAUUACCUGUUGCAAUAUUUUCGGUCCCACCGAGAUAUGCAAUCGGCCCCACCGAGUUUGUUUGGCCAACUCUCUGUUUCGCUUAUUACCCAAAUCGGUCCCACCGAGUUUGAGUAAUCGGUCAAACCGAGUUUUGGAUUUACCCUAACCCUAGCACAUCGGUCCUACCGACUUGAUCUAGUCGGUCCCACCGAAAACCCUAACGGUCACUAGAUUUGCUAAAUUGGUCCGACCGAGUUUAUCAAUUUGGUCCCACCGAGAUUGGCAAGUUGUGUGUAAUGGUUAUAUUUUGUGUGGAGGCUAUAUAUACCCCUCCACCCACUCUUCAUUUGAAGGGAGAGCCAUCAGAACAUACCUACACUUCCAAUACACAUUUUCUGAGAGAGAACCACCUACUCAUGUGUUGAGGCCAAGAUAUUCCAUUCCCACCAUAUGAAUCUUGAUCUCUAGCCUUCCCCAAGUUGCUUUCCACUCAAAUUUUCUUUCCACCAAAUCCAUAUCCUGUGAGAGAGAGUUGAGUGUUGGGGAGACUAUCAUUUGAAGCACAAGAGCAAGGAGUUCAUCAUCAACACACCAUUUGUUACUUCUUGGAGAGUGGUGUCUCCUAGAUUGGCUAGGUGUCACUUGGGAGCCUCCGACAAGAUUGUGGAGUUGAACCAAGGAGUUUGUAAGGGCAAGGAGAUCGCCUACUUCGUGAAGAUCUACCGCUAGUGAGGCAAGUCCUUCGUGGGUGAUGGCCAUGAUGGGAUAGACAAGGUUGCUUCUUCGUGGACCCUUCGUGGGUGGAGCCCUCCGUGGACUCGCGCAACCGUUACCCUUCAUGGGCUGAAGUCUCCAUCAACGUGGAUGUACGAUAACACCACCUAUCGGAACCACGACAAAAACAUCUGUGUCUCCAAUUGCGUUUGAAUUCUCCAAACCCUUCCCCUUACAUUCUUGCAAGUUGCAUGCUUUACUUUCCGCUGCUCAUAUACUCUUUGCAUGCUUUCUUGAUAUGUAUUGUGUUUGUUAAACUUGUGCCAAAACUCGACUUCAACUUAAAGAAGUUAAAAACUGCAACUUUUGGUAUUUAGUGUCUAAUCACCCCCCCCCCCUCUAGACACCUCUUCUCGAUCCUUUCACAUGGCAACAUGGGAGGCAUGAUAUAACAAGUGGUAGGUAGCACAACAUAGUGAUAGAGCGAACAACUAGCAAGCAAAGAUAGAAGUGAUUUUGAGGGUAUGGUCAUCUUGCCUGAAAUCCCGCAAGGCAGAAGAACGAGUCCAAGAAGUAGACGACCCAACGUAGUCGGACGAAUCCUCACAACUUCGGAACGAAACCAAAACUAACGAGAGAAGCAACCCGAAAAGAAGCAAACAACAUGGUAAACACACAAACAUAACAUGGCAUGAUUCACAAACAAGGAUGAUGCAUGUACGGUUUAAAUAUGCAUGGCAUGGCAAACUGCAACAAACAAUACUACAAAUUAAGUGGAGCUCAAUAUGCAACGAGUUGCGUAUUGAUGAAACACCACAUCAAUUAUUUAGUUCUCUCUCGUUUAUGUACCCAACAAUAUUAAAUGUUGUUAAACAUGGCAAGAGGUGAGACAAAAGUAAACUACACAUUUUAGGCAAUUUAAAUAAGGCCGGAAACAUCAAGCAACAAUUCCGGUAAAUCCUCAUGUGCAUUAGCAAUUUAAUGCAACAACAAUUUUAAACAUUUUAAAUGUUAUUAUCAUGAUGUGAAUGACAUGUGCAAGUUUUAUGCGAUUUUUGUUAAAAGUUGACAUGAGCAUUACGAAGCAUUUGUCAUCAUGGAGGAAACGAAAUGGGUGCCACGACAACGACAAUGGAAAUGGUGUCACGGAAACAUUCCGGUUCCAGUAACUCGAUUGAGAUGCCGGUGCAAAAGAGAGUGUGACGGGAGCGUGUCAUGCAAGGAUGGUGGGGUGAUUCUGGUUACCGGAUAUCCCAUGUGUCGGUGGCAUGGCAACCGACGGUCGUGCACGAAACAAACGGGCACGGUGCAAACACGAGCAUCUCAUACAACACACAUGCAUACGGUCCACGGCGUCGUCUCGGGGUUAUACCUUCAAGGCGUGCAAUCAGGACGGUUCGGGUUCGUAGAGGGAAGUAGACGUUCUCGCGAUGGAGUCGACCUUGAUGUGUCCAGGGGACGCUCAGGUCGGUGGGGGUUCUCGGUCUUGCGGUUCUGGUCGGCUCAUCGAAACGCAGGCAGGGCCUAUGGAUUCAUGGAGCAAGACAACAGCAACCUUGCGUGAAGGAGGCCAUGGAGGCGAAGAAACUAAUCGGAGGCCGGUACAGAGAGUUGCGGGUCAUGGCACUGGUCGAUGCGGGCGAGCAGAAGCGCGUCCUCCUCCCCGCUCGAAUGAGGCAGAGGCGGGGCAGUGGCUUGGCGAGCUUGAGGCCAUGGUUGCGGGCUAAGGAACGAGGUCUGGCGGGGUGGCGAUGCUGCUGGUGGAGGACGGCGUGGGCGUAGAAGGCAGGGGCGCGAGGAGGCGAAGCAGAGGACGGGGAGGCCGGAGGAGCUGUCCUGGGGGCGGCGGAGUCCGACGAGGAAGAGGUCUGGAGCAGGGCACCAUGGCGGGGAGGCGAUGUGGCUCCGGUGGAGAAGUAUAGAGCGGCCACAACGAUGGUGGUAGACGCAGAAGGCGGGGCCGCAGGCACCCAUGGCCUUGACGAGGGGGUUGCGCGCGAGGCUCCUUCGGUGGAGGCGACGAACGGGCGGCGACCAUGGCAAACGAGGAGGUAGGACAGCGAGGCGGCGGCCCAGUCGCGGAGGACGAAGGGGAGAGAAGGGAGAUGGGGUUCGAUGGAGAUGGGGGAUCAGGCGUCGGGUUUCUUGCGGCGCGAGGGAAGGAGAUGGGAUCGAGGGGAGAGACCGAGAGAUGGGAACGGGCUCCCUGGCGAAUAGGGUUAGUGCGGCUGAGCCUAGGGAGGCCGCGGAUGGGCUGCUGAGAGGCCUAGCUGGGCUGCGGGGAGACAGGUUGGCCUGGCCGCUGGGCUCUCUCUCUCUCUCUCUCUCCUUAUUUUCUUUAGCAGAAAACAAUUAAAGAGAAGAAAAAAUAGAGGGGGUUAGGGAAAGAAGUUGGACACGCGGAUAAAUUUCCCGAACUCACAAAAAACGUGCAUGUUCAUAGAAAAAUAGAAGUGGCAAGAUUGCAGUAGUUAAAUUCAAAUUCAUUUGAAUAUAAUUCAAAUGAUUUUGAAAUGGGACUAGGUUUGGUGUGGCCAAAAAUGUUCGGAUUUUUGGUGGAGCUCCAAAAAUGAUGAAAGAAUAUAUGGCAAGGUUGGAGACCAAGAAUUGAGAUAACAAAGACAUUGGGAUAAUUUGCAAGUGUGUUAUGGUGAAUUCCAAAUUAAAGAAAUAUUUAAUAUAGCUCCCUAAUAUUGGGAGGAUAUGUUAUAAAGAGAAGUCACUCUUCCCUCAAUUUAAAUAGAUCAACCAUCUAUGCAAUUUAUUAGUUGUGUUUAAAAAAUGAAAUGGCAUGAUGGCAUGAUGACAUGAUGCAAAGAUGAAUGCAACAGACAAAACAAUCACCCGACAAAACUCGGAAAACAUGGAAGGCAUCUGAAGCUCCGGUCUUAGGGCAUUACGGUAUAACAUUCCAAAUUGGAAAUUUGGGAUGUUACAUUGGGAUUCUUUCCGGUGAUUAUCGUAGUUUGAGAAGUUCAUGUAUUCACUAAGUGCUAAUGCUUUCUUCCGGUUCUCUAUUAAAAGGAGGCCUUAAUAACCCUUUGUUUCCAUUAGGACCCCGCUACUACGGGAGGGUAGGACAAAAUAUAUCAUGCAAGUAUUUUCCAUAAGCACAUAUGACUAUAUACGAAAUACAUGCCUACAUUAUAUUGAUGAAUUGGAGCUAGUCCCGUGUCACCCUAUGUUAUAACUGGUGUAUGAUGAAUGCCAUCCGACACAACUAUCAUUGUCGAUCCAUUGCCUACAAGCUUUUCACAUAUUGAUCUUUGCUAAGUUACUUUCACUUGUCCACUGUCACAGUUGCUACAAAACUGCUACUGUUACUUCCAUACUACUUUGCUACUAAAUACUUUGCUGCGGAUAUUUAGUCUUUCAGGUGUGAUUGAAUUGACAACUCAGCUGCUAAUACUCGAGAAUAUUAUUUGGCUCCCCUUGUGUCGAAUUAAUAAAUUUGGGUUGAAUACUCUACCCUCGAAAACUAUUCUGAUCCCCUAUACUUGUGGGUUAUCAACGUCUACAAUGAACUACUCACGCAUCAUCAGAGAGGCACAAAUGAGGAUGAUGAACCCCUCCGUGAUGGUGUCUAGAUUGGAUUUGUGGUUUCUGGAACUUGCGGCGACUGGAAUUGUGUUUCGUCGACUCCCCUAGGGUUUUUGGAUUUUCAGGGUAUUUAUAGAGCAAAGAGGCAGUGCGGGAGGCCACCGGCGUGGGCACAACCCACCAGGGCACCCAGGUGGGUGUUGGGGAACGUAGCAGAAAUUCAAAAUUUUCUACGCAUCACCAAGAUCAAUCUAUGGAGUAAUCUAGCAACAAGGGGAAGGAGAGUGCAUCUACAUACCCUUGUAGAUCGCUAAGUGGAAGCGUUCAAGUGAACGGGGUUGAUGGAGUCGUACUCGUCGUGAUCCAAAUCACCGAUGAUCCUAGUGCCGAACGGACGGCACCUCCGUGUUCAACACACGUACAGCCCGGUGACGUCUCCUAUGCCUUGAUCCAGCAAGGGGAGAAGGAGAGGUUGGGGAAGACUCCAUCCAGAAGCAACACGACAGCGUGGUGGUGGUGAAGCGUGGUACUCCAGCAGGGCUUCGCCAAGCACCGUAAGAGACGAGGAGGGAGAGGGGUAGGGCUGCGCCAACAAGAGAAGAAACUUCGUCUGUGGGCUGCUCCUUUGCCUCCACUAUAUAUAGGGGGAGAGGGAGGGAUGCGCCCCCACCUAGGGUUCCACCCUAGGGGCGGCGGCCAGCCCAGAUCCCAUCUGGUGGGGCGGCCAAGGGGGGAAGAGGGGAAACUUGCCCCCCCAAGCUAGGUGGGGCGCCCCCUCCCUAAACCCUAGGCGCCUUGGGCCUUGGUGGGGGGCGCACCAGCCCACCUGGGGCUGGUCCCCUCCCACACUUGGCCCAUGCAGCCCUCCAGGGCUGGUGGCCCCACUUGGUGGACCACCAGGACCCUCCCGGUGGUCCCGGUACAUUACCGAUAAAACCCAAAACUUUUCCGACGACCAAAACAGGACUUCCCAUAUGUAAAUCUUUACCUCCGGACCAUUCCGGAACUCCUCGUGACGUCUGGGAUCUCAUCCGGAACUCCGAACAACAUUCGGUAACCACGUAUAUCUAUUCCCUAUAACCCUAGCGUCAUCGAAGCUUAAGUGUGUAGACCCUACGGGUUCGGGAACCAUGCAUACAUGACCGAGAUAACUCUCCGGUCAAUAACCAACAGCGGGAUCUGGAUACCCAUGUUGGCUCCCACAUGCUCCAUGAUGAUCUCAUCGGAUGAACCACGAUGUCAAGGACUUAAUCAAUCCCGUAUACAAUUCCCUUUGUCUAUCGGUACGAUACUUGCCCGAGAUUCGAUCGUCGGUAUCCCGAUACCUUGUUCAAUCUCGUUACCGGCAAGUCUCUUUACUCGUUCCGUAACACAUCAUCCCGUGAUCAACUCCUUGAUCACAUUGUGCACAUUAUGAUGAUGUCCUACCGAGUGGGCCCAGAGAUACCUCUCCAUCACACGGAGUGACAAAUCCUAGUCUCGAUUCGUGCCAACCCAACAGACACUUUCGGAGAUACCCGUAGUGCACCUUUAUAGCCACCCAGUUACGUUGUGACGUUUGGCACACCCAAAGUAUUCCUACGGUAUCCGGGAGUUGCACAAUCUCAUGGUCUAAGAAAAUGAUACUUGACAUUAGAAAAGCUUUAGCAUGCGAACUACACGAUCUUGUGCUAUGCUUAGGAUUGGGUCUUGUCCAUCACAUCAUUCUUCUAAUGAUGUGAUCCCGUUAUCAAUGACAUCCAAUGUCCAUGGUCAGGAAACCGUAACCAUCUAUUGAUCAACGAGCUAGUCACCUAGAGGCUUACUAGGGACAUGGUGUUGUCUAUGUAUCCACACAUGUGUCUGAGUUUCCUAUAAAUACAAUUCUAGCAUGGAUAAUAAACGAUUAUCAUGAACAAGGAAAUAUAAUAAUAACCAAUUUAUUAUUGCAUCUAGGGCAUAUUUCCAACAGUCUCCCACUUGCACUAGAGUCAAUAAUCCAGUUCACAUUGAUAUGUGAUUAACACUCAAGGUCACAUCCCCAUGUGACUAACACCCAAAGAGUUCUGGGUUUGAUCAUGUUAUACUUGUGAGAGAGGUUUCAGUCAACGGGUCUGCAACAUUCAGAUCCGUAUGUACUUCGCAAAUUUCUAUGUCAUCUUGUAGAUGCAACUACUACGCUACAUUUGGAGCCAUUUCAAAUAACUGUUCUACUUGGAGCUGUUCUAAAUUGUUGCUCCAUUAUACGUAUCCGGUAUCUCUACUCAGAGCUAUCCGGAUAGAUGUUAAGCUUGCAUCGACGUAACUCUUUACGUCGAACUCUUUAUCACCUCCAUAACCGAGAAACAUAUCCUUAUUCCUCUAAGGAUAAUUUAGACCGCUAUCUGGUGAUCUACUCCUAGAUUACCUUUGUACCCUCUUGCCAGAUAUGUGGCAAGGCACACAUCUGGUGCGGUACUCAGCAUGGCAUACCGUAUAGAGCCUAUGACAAAAGCAUAGGGGACGACCUUCGUCCUUUCUCUCUAUUUUGCCGCGGUCAGGUUUCGGGUCUUACUCAAUGUUCACACCUUAUAACACAGCCAAGAACUCCUUCUUUGCCGAUCCAUUUUGAACUCCUUCAAAAUCUUGUCAUGGUAUAUAUUCAUUUGAAAGUACUAUUAAGCGUUUUGAUCUAUCCUUAUAGAUCUUAAUGCUCAAUACUCAAGUAGCCUAAUCCAGGUUUUCCAUUGAAAAACACUUUUCAAAUAACUCUGCAUGCUUUCCAGAAAUCUACAUCAUUUCCGAUCAACAAUAUGUCAACAACAUAUAUUCAUCAGAAAUUCUAUAGUGCUCCCACUCACUUCUUUGGAAAUACAAGUUUCUCAUAAACUUUGUAUACACCCAAAAUCUUUGAUCAUCUCAUCAAAGCAUACAUUCCAACUCCGAGAUGCUUACUCCAGUCCUUAGAAGGAUUGCUAGAGCUUUGCAUACUUGUUAGCAUCUUUCAGGAUUGACAAAACCUUCCAGUUGUAUCACAUACAACCUUUCCUCAAGAAAAUCGUCGAGGAAACAAUGUUUUGAUAUCCUAUCUGCAAGAUUUCAUAAAUAAUGCAGUAAUCGCUAAUAUAAUUCCAACAGACUCUUAGCAUCGCUAUGAGUGAGAAAGUCUCAUCAUAGUUAACUAUUUGAACUUGUCGGAAAACAUCUUAACGACAAGUCGAGCUUUCUUAAUGGUGAUACUUACCAUCAUUGUCCGUCUUCCUUUUAAAAUCCAUAUGUACCUAACAGCCUUAUGACCAUCAAGUAGUUCUUCCAAAGUCUACACUUUGUUUUCAUAUAUGGAUCCUCUCUCGGAUUAUAUGGCCUCGAGCCAUUUUGGAAUCCAGGCCCACCAUCGCUUUUCCAUAGCUCGUAGGUUCAUUGUUGUCUAGCAACAUGACUUCCAAGACAGGAUUACGUACCAAUCUGAAGUAGUACGCAUCCUUGUCAUCCCACGAGGUUUGGUAGUGACUUGAUCUGAAGUUUCAUGAUCACUAUCAUAAGCUUCCACUUCAAUUGGUGUAGGUGCCACAGGAACAACUCCCUGUGCCCUGCCACACACUAGUUGAAGAGACGGUUCAAUAACCUCAUCAAGUCUCCACCAUCCUCCCACUCAAUUCUUACGAGAAAAACCUUUCUUCCUCGAGAAAGGACCCGAUUCUAGAAACAAUCCCUUAUUGCUUUCGGAUCUGAGACAGGAGGUACACCCAACUGUUUUGGGUGUCCUAUGAAGAUGCAUUUAUCCGCUUUGGGUUCGAGCUUAUCAGCCUGAAACUUUUUCACAUAAGCGUCGCAGCCCCAAACUUUUAAGAAAUGACAGCUUAGGUUUCUCUAAACCAUAGUUCAUACGGUGUCAUCUCAUCGGAAUUACGUGGUGCCCUAUUUAAAGUGAAUGUGGUUGUCUCUAAUGCCUAACCCAUAAACUAUCGUGGUAAUUCGAUAAGAGACAUCAUGGUAUGCAUCAUAUCCAAUAGGGUGUAAUUAUGAUGUUCGGACACACCAUCAUACUAUGGUGUUUCAGGCUGUAUUAGUUGUGAAACAAUUUCCACAAUGUCUUAAUUCUGUGCCAAACUCGUAAUUCAGAUAUUCAUCUCUAUGAUCAUAUCAUAGAUAUUUUAUCCUCUUGUCAUGAUGAUCUUUCAACUUCACCCUGAAAUUACUUGAACCUUUCAAUAAUUCAGACUCGUGAUUCAUCAAGUAAAUAUACUCAACAUCUACUCAAAUCAUCUGUGAAGUAAGAACAUAACGAUAUCCACUACACGCCUCAGCACUCAUUGGACUGCACACAUCAAAAUGUAUUACUUCCAACAAGUUGCUUUCUAGUUCCAUUUUACUGAAAACGAGGCUUUCAGUCAUCUUGCCCGUGUGGUAUGAUUUGCAUGUCUCAAGUGAUUCAAAAUCAAGUGAGUCCAAACGGUCCAUUUGCAUGGAGUUUCUUCAUGCAUAUACACCAAUAGACAUGGUUCGCAUGUCUCAAACUUUUCAAAACGAGUGAGCCCAAAGAUCCAUCAACAUGGAGCUUCUUCAUGCGUUUUAUACCGAUAUGACUUACGUGGCAGUGCCACAAGUAGGUGGUACUAUCAUUACUAUCUUAUAUCUUUUGACAUGAACAUGUGUAUCACUACGAUCGAGAUUCAAUAAACCAUUCAUUUUAGGUGCAAGACCAUUGAAGGUAUUAUUCAAAUAAAUAGAGUAACCAUUAUUCUCCUUAAAUGAAUAACCAUAUUGCGAUAGACAUAAUCCAAUCAUGUCUAUGCUCAACGGAAACACCAAUCUCGAUGGUAGAGGGAGCGUGCCAUGCUUGAUCACAUCAAGCUUGGGAAAAACUUCCAACACAUAUCGCCAGCUCACCUUUAGCAAGUCUCCAUUUACUCUGCAGCCUUUUAUUUCGAGUUUACUAACAUUUAGCAACCGAACCGGUAUCUAAUACCAUGGUGCUACUAGGAGUACUAGUAAAGUACACAUUAACACAAUGUAUAUCCAAUAUACUUCUAUCGACCUUGCCAGCCUUCUCAUCUACCAAGUAUCUAGGGUAAUUCUGCUCCAGUGGCUGUUCCCCUUAUUACAGAAGCACUUAGUCUCAGGUUUGGGUUCAACCUUGGGUUUCUUCACUAGAGCAGCAGCUGAUUUGUCGUUUCAUGAAGUAUCCCUUCUUGCCCUUGCCCUUCUUGAAACUAGUGGUUUCACCAACCAUCAACAAUUGAUGCUCCUUCUUGAUUUCUACUUUUGUGGUGUCAAACAUCGCGAAUAUCUCAAGGAUCAUCAUAUAUGUCCCUGAUAUAUUAUAGUUCAUCACGAAGCUCUAGCAGCUUGGUGGUAACGAGUUCGAAGAAACAUCACUAUCUCAUCUGGAAGAUCAACUCCCACUCGAUUCAAAUGAUUGUUGUACUCAGACAAUCUUGAGCACAAGCUCAACAAUUGAGCUUUUCUCCCUUAGUUUGCAGGCUAAGAAAAUCGUCGGAGGUCUUAUACCUCUUGAUGUGGGCACGAGCCUGAAAUUCCAAUUUCAGCCCUUGAAACAUCUCAUAUGUUUCGCGACGUUUCAAAACGUCUUCGGUGCCUCAACUCUAAACCGUUUAACUGAACUAUCACGUAGUUAUCAAAAUGUGUAUGUCAGAUGUUCGCAACAUCCACAGACGACGUUUGAGGUUCAGCACACUGAGCAGUGCAUUAAGUACAUAAGCCUUCUAUGAAGCAAUGAGGACAAUCCUCAGUUUACGGACCUAGUCCGCAUAAUUGCUACUAUCAUCUUUCAACUAAAUUUUCUCCAGGAACAUAUCUAAACAGUAUAACUGAAGCGCGAGCCACGACAUAAUUUGCGAAGACCUUUUGACUAUGUUUAGGAUAAUUAAGUUCAUCUUAUGAACUCCCACUCAGAUAGACAUCCCUCUAGUCAUCUAAGUGAUUACAUGAUCCGAGUCAACUAGACCAUGUCCGAUCAUCACGUGAGACGGACUAGUCAUCAUCGGUGAACAUCUUCAUGUUGACCGUAUCUACCAUACGACUCAUGCUCGACCUUUCGGUCUCUUGUGUUCCGAGGCCAUGUUUGUACAUGCUAGGCUCGUCAAGUCAACCUAAGUGUUUCGCGUGUGUAAAUCUGGCUUACACCCGUUGUAUGUGAACGUAAGAAUCUAUCACACCCGAUCAUCACGUGGUGCUUCGAAACGAUGAACUUUUGCAACGGUGCACAGUUAGAGGGAACACUUUCUUGAAAUUUUAAUGAGGGAUCAUCUUAUUUACUACCGUCGUUCUAAGCAAAUAAGAUGUAUAAACAUGAUAAACAUCACAUGCAAUCAAAUAGUGACAUGAUAUGGCCAAUAUCAUAUUGCUCCUUUUGAUCUCCAUCUUCGGGGCUCCAUGAUCAUCAUCGUCACCGGCAUGACACCAUGAUCUCCAUCAUCAUGAUUUCCAUCAUUGUGUCUCCAUGAAGUUGUCUCGCCCACUUAUUACUUCUACUACUAUGGCUACCGGUUAGCAAUAAAGUAAAGUAAUUACAUGGCGUUGUUCAAUGACACGUAGGUCAUACAAUAAAUAAAGACAACUCCUAUGGCUCCUGCCGGUUGUCAUACUCAUCGACAUGCAAGUCGUGAUUCCUAUUACAAGAACAUGAUCAAUCUCAUACAUCACAUAUUAUUCAUCACAUUCUUCUUGGCCAUAUCACAUCACAUAGCAAAUGCUGCAAAAACAAGUUAGACGUCCUCUAAUUGUUGUUGCAAGUUUUUUACGUGGCUGCUAUAGGUUGCUAGCAAGAACGUUUCUUACCUACGCAAAAACCACAACGUGAUAUGCCAAUUGCUAUUUACCCUUCAUAAGGACCCUUUUCAUCGAAUCCGAUCUGACUAAAGUGGGAGAGAUAGACACCCGCUAGCCACCUUAUGCAACUAGUGCAUGUCAGUCGGUGGAACCAGUCUCACGUAAGAGUACGUGUAAGGUCGGUCCGGGCCGCUUCAUCCCACGAUGUCGCCCGAAUCAAGAUAAGACUAGUAACGGCAAGAUAAUUGACAAUAUCGACGCCCACAACUACUUUGUGUUCUACUCGUGCAUAGUAACUACGCAUAGACCUAGCUCAUGAUGCCACUGUUGGGGAACGUAGCAGAAAUUCAAAAUUUUCUACGCAUCACCAAGAUCAAUCUAUGGAGUAAUCUAGCAACGAGGGGAAGGAGAGUGCAUCUACAUACCCUUGUAGAUCGCUAAGCGGAACGUUCAAGUGAACGGGGGUGAUGGAGUCGUACUCGUCGUGAUCCAAAUCACCGAUGAUCCUAGUGCCGAACGGACGGCACCUCCGUGUUCAACACACGUACAGCCCGGUGAUGUCUCCUACGCCUUGAUCCAGCAAGGGGAGAAGGAGAGGUUGGGGAAGACUCCAUCCAGCAGCAACACGACGGGGUGGUGGUGGUGGAGGAGCGUGGUACUCCAGCAGGGCUUCGCCAAGCACCGUAAGAGACGAGGAGGGAGAGGGGUAGGGCUGCGCCAACAAGAGAAGAAACUUCGUCUGUGGGCUGCUCCUUUGCCUCCACUAUAUAUAGGGGAGAGGGAGGGCUGUGCCCCCACCUAGGGUUCCACCCUAGGGGCGGCGGCCAGCCCAGAUCCCAUCUGGUGGGGCGUCCAAGGGGGGGAAGAGGGGAAACUUGCCCCCCCCCCAAGCUAGGUGGGGCGCCCCCUCCCUAAACCCUAGGCACCUUGGGCCUUGGUGGGGGGCGCACCAGCCCACCUGGGGCUGGUCUCCUCCCACACUUGGCCCAUGCAACCCUCCGGGGCUGGUGGCCCCACUUGGUGGACCACCAGGACCCUCCCGGUGGUCCCGGUACAUUACCGAUAAAACCCGAAACUUUUCCGGCGACCAAAACAGGACUUCCCAUAUAUAAAUCUUUACCUCCGGACCAUUCCGGAACUCCUCGUGAUGUCCGGGAUCUCAUCCGGGACUCCGAACAACAUUCGGUAACCACAUAUAUCUAUUCCCUAUAACCCUAGCGUCAUCGAACCUUAAGUGUGUAGACCCUACGGGUUCGGGAACCAUGCAGACAUGACCGAGAUAACUCUCCGGUCAAUAACCAACAGCGGGAUCUGGAUACCCAUGUUGGCUCCCACAUGCUCCACGAUGAUCUCAUCGGAUGAACCACGAUGUCAAGGACUUAAUCAAUCCCGUAUACAAUUCCCUUUGUCUAUCGGUACGAUACUUGCCCGAGAUUCGAUCGUCGGUAUCCCGAUACCUUGUUCAAUCUCGUUACCAGCAAGUCUCUUUACUCGUUCCAUAACACAUCAUCCCGUGAUCAACUCCUUGAUCACAUUGUGCACAUUAUGAUGAUGUCCUACCGAGUGGGCCCAGAGAUACCUCUCCGUCACACGGAGUGACAAAUCCCAGUCUCGAUUUGUGCCAACCCAACAGACACUUUUGGAGAUACCCGUAGUGCACCUUUAUAGCCACCCAGUUAUGUUGUGACGUUUGGCACACCCAAAGUAUUCCUACAGUAUCUGGGAGUUGCACAAUCUCAUGGUCUAAGGAAACGAUACUUGACAUAAGAAAAGCUUUAGCAUGCGAACUACACGAUCUUGUGCUAUGCUUAGGAUUGGGUCUUGUCCAUCACAUCAUUCUUCUAAUGAUGUGAUCCCGUUAUCAAUGACAUCCAAUGUCCAUGGUUAGGAAACCGUAACCAUCUAUUGAUCAACGAGCUAGUCACCUAGAGGCUUACUAGGGACAUGGUGUUGUCUAUGUAUCCACACAUGUAUCUGAGUUUCCUAUCAAUACAAUUCUAGCAUGGAUAAUAAACGAUUAUCAUGAACAAGGAAAUAUAAUAAUAACCAAUUUAUUAUUGCCUCUAGGGCAUAUUUCCAACAGUGGGUUGUGCUCCCCUUGGAGCUCCCCUCUGGUACUUCCUUGGUUCAUCGUGCGCCUUCUGGUCCAGAAAAAAUAUCCAAAAAGUUUUCGCUGUGUUGGACUCCGUUUGGUAUUGAUUUUCUGCGAAGUAAAAGACAAGCAAAAAACAGCAACUGGCACUAGGCACUAUGUCAAUAGGUUAGUCCCCAAAAAUGAUAUAAAGUUGCUAUAGAAUGAUUGUAAAACAUCUGACAAUGAUAAUAUAACAGCAUGAAACAAUAAAAAAUUAUAGAUACGUUGGAGACGUAUCAGGAUCCAUCUGGCACUCCACUUCCUGAGGUGAUUGCAGACUUGUGUCGAAGUGACCUCUUGGCCACAUGUCAAACACCUUCUUGGAAACAGAUUUCAAGUGCACCUCCUUGAAGCCCUUAUCAGUCCUUACCCUGUUGACUAUGAUCUUACAUAUUUGUUAAGCACGAAAGUAGUAAGAACGACUGACAUUUCAUUGAGUUCCCCCUCCCAGCCAUCUUUACCCUCCUAGCCUUGGUGGUUGCCUUAUGUGUAGAAGCAACAACAUUAGACGCAUCUGACACAUAUGUGCUAGGCACAAAUGGUAGACGCCUUGCAGACCCCUCGAGGGAAUCUAAUUCAGAGAUAUCUGAUCCUCGGUCAUAGGCUAGGGGUCCUCAAAAUAGGAUGACGGGAAUUGGCUCUCGAACAAGACAAUGAAAUGGCUAAAAUCUUGCAACCUCAUGUCCUACAAGCGUUAGCGUCACGAUUUGUGAAACACACUACACAUGGACAGUAAGAAGGACCACUACGCAUGGAUAGUAAGCAUAUUACACAUGGACCAUGAAGUUCAACACAUCACCCUAUGACUGAUCUUCAAUCUCAUAGCAUGCCAUGAAGUUCAACACACUACCACACCUACAUACUUGCAAACUAGCAUACUACACAUGCUCCGAUUCAGAGGCUAGUACCAAAUCUACCAUGGUAUCAUCCUUGUUGACAAGGAACAACAUGAACAUCAUCAAAGCUUACAAGCAACACCUAUCAUGCUACCAAUUCAUCAACACUAGCUACCAAAACAUCACAUUCUCAUGGAUCGACGGUCUAUAGUGCUACCACAUGCUCACAUAUCUAAGAUAGAAUUAGUAGGAAGGACGGACUGACCGAACUUACAACCAUCGAUUAAGCCCGAUGGAGGCGUGGAACUGGUCGGAAACAGGAAGAAGACAAAUCGUCGCCAUUGUCGACCGCCAGCCGAAGAAGACGUGUCGCUUACCUGCUCGUCGAUGACGAUCCGCGCAAAACGGAGAGCUCGAAUGAGGGGGCGCGAGUUUGGGUCGUGAGCCGAGGGUGGCUGUAUAGGGCGACCGAUUCGGCAGGAGGUGGCCACAAAUUCUUCCUGCAGAUUUUUAGGGACGCGCACGAUCUCGCACCAUCUCCUUGCUCUCAUGAGCUUGACGCCGUGUUCCCCUUCCUUGUAUCGUCCGAGUUUGGCUGAGGGGAAACGGGCGAUUCCACUGUUCCAACGAGCCUGCCUGGUAGGGUACUUUAAGUUUUGUGCUAUGCUAACCAAACAGUGAAUAUAGGCUAUCAAAUAGGACAUUUUUGCACCCCGUGGGUUUGGUUGGACCUAAUGCAGGCUAUCAAACAUACCCUCGAAGACCAGCCCUACAGAGACGGGAGGAACGCGAUAGAUGGAUCGAUGAGGACGAUGGCCAGUGUUUGCUCAUAUCUUUGAGGUGGGCUUUGAGAGAGGACCAACACAUGUUUGAUGCAUGCUCACCGGCGAUGGAAUGUGACGCAACUGAAACAUGUUUGAUGCAUGUUGGAGAGAGGACCAAACACACAAAAGUCAUCUUCUACUCGCGAGCUUGAGCUCACGACCAACAUCAAGCUCACAAAAAAAUAAAAAUAAAUGGAAAAAACUGAUUUUUUUAAUGAAUUUUGACAAAUGUUUCAAGUGCUUGAAAAUUUUCAUCAUGAAAUGACAUUCGCGGAUGUCAUUGUUGCCACCUCUUCCACGAAUGUCAUUCUUUGAUGGAAUUUUAUGAGCACCGAAAACAUUUAUCAAUGUUUGCUCUGGAAUAAUUCCAGAAUUUUUUAAAUUUUAUUUUAAUAUUUUUGGAUUUUACUGUUCACCUGAGCUAAUUUGAGCUCGAGCUCGGAAAUUCAGCGUCCACAAACACAUCCUAAUGCUUCAGCACAUUUGUCGAGCGUGGAAAGUAAAAGAGCAACCCUGGUAACACAAAUCAUCAAACUAUUACACUCGUUUAACUCAAUCUGACAAAAGAAUCGACGACGACGACGCACCUCGACACAGAUAGACAGGUGCGUGCGUGCCGUGCUCCCGUAAACAGUACAUUACAGUACAAAAGUAAAGCAAAGUAGAACAGCACAAGAGUACACAUACGCAUAGACGGACA
This 68211-nucleotide long non-coding RNA is filed under the name Triticum aestivum (bread wheat). RNAcentral describes it as "long non-coding RNA (TAES_LNC019371)". Lineage: Eukaryota; Viridiplantae; Streptophyta; Magnoliopsida; Poales; Poaceae. The record is from RNAcentral.